RNAcentral lists this long non-coding RNA (71539 nucleotides) under Coffea arabica (coffee). Its description in RNAcentral is "long non-coding RNA (CARA_LNC007938)". Lineage: Eukaryota; Viridiplantae; Streptophyta; Magnoliopsida; Gentianales; Rubiaceae. The record is from RNAcentral.
CUUUUUUUUUUUUUUUUUUUUUUUUUUAAGGUAGGAGGAAAGAACAUGAUAAGAAUGUGGCCAUCAUCGAAGGUGGGCAGUGGACAUGUUUCAUGUUUGAAUGUUGAAUUCUUUUGUAGUAGUUGGUUGUGUUUUAUAUGCAUGUUUUAGUGUCAUUCAUUCCUUUCUAGAGUUUCUAAUUGAAUUUUCGGCUUUUUCUUCUUUGCCAUUUUCUUCCAUCCUUCGACUGUCUUGUCCCAAUAAUUUUUUUGGAAGUGAGUACGGUGGAAGAGGGAGAGAGGCAAAGUAAACAACGUGUAAUGAAUGUGUAUAAUUUGCUUUUGAUUUUCCUUGUGGACCUAGUUAGAAAUACUCCUAAUUCGAGAACUCUAAUUAGGACUUUUGUUCAAAAAUUUUUGUAAAAUUGAUAGUAAAUCGCUUCCCUUCCCCUCCCCCCACCCCUUUUCAUAUUCAAUUGUGUGUGGAAUAAGAUUCGAAUCUUGAACUUGACAGUAAAAAAAAAAUUCUAAAAACUCUCCCUAAUCACUUGACUGAUAAUUUGUAUAUCUGGAAUCUGAAGUUGGUAAACUUCUUUUUUUUUUUUCUCUCUCUCUCUCUCUCCCCCUCCCUCUCUCCUUAACAAAGUUUAUGCAGUGUAAAGAGGCCAAACCCAGACCUAAAAGGCCAGGAUGGUCAAUGGGCUAUGAGAUGCUCGUGUACUGGACUGGAUGAAUAAGAUUUAUGGUUCACCUGACACGGCUUGGGCUUGUAUAUCAGUGGAUUGAUUAUGCCGCCCAUUGCUUCCUCAUUAAUUUUGUUCCAUUCAAAUUGUAUCGUGAAAUACUGUUUGUAACAUAAAUGACUCGUUUUAAUUGGCAGUGGAUAUUAAUUAGGUAUUGGACUCUCAAUUAUAGGAGAAUAUCUUAAAUACUCUUCUUCUUACAUGAGCAAAAAAUGAAUAGGACUAACGCAAGUUUUAAUUGCUUUUUAGCAUAUUCCACUGCAUUGGCUAUAUGUUCCUCAAACCAUCGAUCACAAAUGCUAAAAAUUCCAACAUUAACACAUCAACUUCGCCCUUAAGCAAUGCUCAUGGAAUAGUCCUUAGAUUAGACAUUUAGACAACCUGCAUAAUUAAACAUUGGUCUUAUUACUUUUUUUUUUCCCUAACAAGAAAGAGGUGAAAUUGAAGAAAUAGGGAGAGAAAAAGGGAAUUUGAAUCCAAAAAUGAAUCUUCGGUAGCUCUCAUAAUUCACCGAAAGUUGAUACACGUUUACUAGUGUGAAUAACAAAUGAGGCAAAACAUAAGAUGUAAAAUUUAAAAAGCGUGCACUAUUGCAUUCUUUUAAUUUAAGUGAGGGAACUAUUCCCUCUAGCUCCCGACAUAGUUGAGUUCUCUCCUAAGUAGGCUGGAGUAAUAAUAGUGAAAGAGUUGAUGAUUUAAAAAAAAAAAAAGAGAAUAACAAACUAAUGGAAUAAUAUUCUUGUAUAUUUACUUGUUUUAUUUAUUGAAAAAAUGUUAAGUAUCAGUGUGUCACACAAAACAUAAACAUAAGAUGGAACUCCAUUUUCCACCUUUUUUUUUUGUUUUGUAAAUUCAGUUUUACUUGGAAUUUGUGAGUUGUGACUCUGAGUGGAAUGGUUGUCCUCGAUUUUCUAAGUUUGUGAGGAGGAUAUUCUUUUAACUUUUCCUAUAUUUACAAAAGAGUUGACUAUUCAAGUUAGAAACCUUUCUUUACCUCUUUUUUCUGCUCUUUCCUCAAAGUACUGAAGAACAUGAAUUCUUGUGGUCUACUGAGAAUUAAGGUUUGCAGAGGCAUCAACCUCGCUGUUCGUGACACUGUUAGCCAUAGCAGUGACCCUUAUGUCGUCGUCAGCCAUGCUGGCCAGGCCUGUCGUCUUCUCAUUACUUUUUCUACUGGCAAUUCUUUUUUUUUUUGGCUCUGUAAUCAUAUCAUGUAUUGCUUGUAUCUUAUAUGAUUCAUAUGGUCUUUUAAUUUGUGGGUUUUUUCUGUGAUUAUUCAAAUCAUAUUGGGUUUUCUUUUUUGUUUCCAAAGAUUGCAAUUUUGGUGUUAAUCUCGUCGAAAUCGGCAUCUGUUGCAAGCUGAAGUUGUAGAAUUAGAAGGCCAUGUUAAUUAGAAUUAACCAACCAGAUUGAUUUUCUAAUUAAAAUAUUAGUUGAAGAAGAAUAGGAAAAACAUAAAGAAAUUAGGUCUGAAUACGAAGAUACAUAGAAAUUUCAAGAUUUUUUUUAAAUUUUUUGAAACUGAAUAUAAGAUUGAUGCUGGAGAGGAUACCUGCAACUGAGGAAAAGGAUCAGGCAAGAAUGAGAAGCAUGGCUGAAUAAGGGGGAUUGUGAACUGAGCUAGUGGCGUUUAUGCCAGAAAGUUAAGUAUACCAUUUCAUGGUGGAAGUGCUGUUUGGCCUAUUUGUAGUUAGGCUAUCAUGGUUUUGUCAGCUAAAUGCUCAAAAAUGCUGAUUGAAUUUCAAGAUACUGAAACUGAAAGUUCAAUUUCAAUGUUUCUUUUCGUUCUUGCAUUAUACUUUCUGCUUAAUUUGUUUCUUUCUUAUUUAAUAGAGCAAACUUUUGGUUGUUCAUAACAUUCUCAAAUAUGGCAUUGCAAAUGCUUUGCUUUGUUAUUUGAUAAGCUUCCCAUUUCUGGACAGCUAAAAACGUAAUUGGUUGAUUACAAAUGGAGAGAUGCAUGCUGUGUUCACUUAGUUUUAGCACUGCUAGUACCGAAUUGACUUGGCAAGUGAACUCGCUGCAUAGAGAUGGCGUUUCAAUUUUCCUUCACCGUUCACCACCAACAAAAUAAUGACCAGCCAUUUUAGGAAUUUGUAGAUGUUGGAUAGUCUUAAUGAACGUGGUUACAAUGUGCUUAUUCUGCUGAAUAAUUUGUUGAUUGAGGAAUUUGAUCUGUUAUCCCCCUGAUGGCUGCAAGACAAGUUUAGUAGUGAUUACUGAAUUUUCUUCAAUCAUGUAGAUCGUAGGAUCGUGUACUGCUUCUCAUGAUGUAAGGUUUACUGCAGACUGUGAAGACAAGUGUGGUGAAUAAAAACUGCUCCCCUGUUUGGAAUGAAAGUCUGACUCUUAGUUUGAAGGAUCCUAAUGUCCCAUUUGUUCUGGUAAGUCACAUUUUCUUUUCCUUUCUUAUUGAGUGUCUGCAAUGAACAUCCGUGACUUGAAUGGAUCUAGGUCGGCAGUCUUGCCAAACUGAUAGUAUAAAGCAAUGAGUUCAAGUUUAUGUUCUCUAUGCAUUUUGCUUAAUCAAAAGUGUGUGUUCCUUUGUAUAUCUGUCUUGCCUUCUGGAGGACCAAAAUAUGGUGAUCAUCAUGUAUGACUUCCACUGAUUAACAAUGGAUUUUGUAUCUUUCAGAGAGUAUUUGAUAAAGACACGUUUACGGGAGAUGAUCCAAUGGGAGAUGCAGAAUUCAACGUGAAACCAUUUCUCGAGUGCUUGAAAAUGGGUUUGCAAGACCUCCCAGAUGGGACUAAAGUUGACAGAGUUCAACCAAGCCACGACAAUUGCCUUGCAGAUGAGAGCUGCAUUGUUUGGAACCAGGGUAAAAUGUUCCAAAAGAUGAUACUUAGGUUGAGAAACGUGGAAUGUGGUGAAGUAGAAACACAUCUUGAAUGGCUUGAUUAUCCUGGAUUUAGAGGCUAAAAGCAAGACUGAUUCCCUCGCUGUUGUGUACUUGUGAUUCGAGGGCUGAUGAUGAAGGCAUACAAUCUAAGUUCUUGCUGUAUAUUUAUGGCUGUUCCUCAUGUAAUGUUUGAGAGCUAAGGUAUGACCCUCACAGGAAACUAUCUCGGCCUCUUGUAUGGCUAUUGUUCAGGUUACUGCUUUGCUGGUGUAGCUAUAACAAAUAUAACCUUUUCUGUUUCUUUACCUGGGAGGGGGAUUGAAGAAAGCAGAAAAGGAUAACGCGAAUAAGAGAAUAUUGAAUCCUUGCUUUAAGACGAUCGAGAUGAAUAAGGCCCUUAACUAUUCUAACUGAAUAUAACGUAUUUCUCAGCAAGAAAUUUGAGAAUUUUUUUUUUUGAAAAAGUUUACAAUCAAGAACUGAAUUCGCCCUGGCUGAUGUUAUUUUCUCUUUCGACAAUUAACAGCAGAAAUUGAUUAGAUGCCAUUUUUCUCUUUCAUCAUUUACCCCUGAUUUCCUUUCUCUUUAGUUGUGAUAUUAUUUGCUUGACAUUGACGAGAAUUGUUUUUUUUUUUUUAAUCUUAUUCUGAGCUUGAUCAAAUUGAAGGGGAAAAAAAAUUAAUCUGGUGUUAUUCCCAUGUUCUCCUCGUCAAGCAUAAGGAACUUGGCAUAUUCUUGAACAACCUUCACGACCUUUUUUUAGUCAAUCAGUUAUAAGAUCUUGUAUCUCUAAACUUCAUUUGGAUAAAUUACUUCAGAAAAGCUACACAAAAACUGUUCUUGAUUUAGAAUAUCUCAGAGACUUUUUUUCUCUGAUAAAUAAAAUAUCUCGAAGACCUGAAUAAUCUAAUUUUCAUUUAGAUACUUGAAAUUCUUGGGACCAACAGAUAUGUUCACUGAUUCUAGUUAUAUAUAGAUCUCAUUUUCAAAUCCCAGGAAAUGAUGCUCAGGAAUCCAGUCCUCGAUCCGAAUUUCUAAUUUGACUCGGCAUUCCGGUUAAUCCCCACAGAAAAGGAACCCCCCCCCCCUUCUCCCAAAAAAAAAAAUUAAUGCAGAUCACUAUAUUUUGGUUGUUUUACGUAAUAUUAAUUCUUCAGAUGCAAAGAUAGAACACUUUUUUUUUUUUUUUUUUUGCCUUUUGCAGUUUUUGGAACCCCAAUUGGAUUAUUAGGUGUCGUGGAAUAUACCAUUUUUCUGUUCGAUAGAAGUAUCAAUCGCUGAAGAAGAUAUGCAUAGAUAAAACAAGAAAAAAAAUCUCAGGGCAUUUGGAAGUUUGUUCUCAGAUAUUUCAUCCUUUGCAGGAGAUACAUAUGCAAACUGUAAGGUUAUGGUUUAUUCACCAAUAAACCUUAUCUUCCUAACUUUCAACCCUUGUCCGAAUAUCAUCACCAUUACACACUUUGAAAAUAAACUAAGGGCGCCAAGUUUGAAGCAAAUAAUAACAAUGGCUUCAACACAAUCACAAUCCCUACAAGGUCUAAUUUCCAAAACAAACUUUCCAUCACUUCCAAUAAAUAAACCAAUAUUGCACAAUACAAAUUUCAAGAUUUCAUUCCCAUUUCCCUCUAGAAAAUCUUUACCACGCGUCGAAUCUUCCAGCACUGUAAAGUACAAUGAAGUUGUGGUGGAUGAAGAAAUGGAUAAAAUUAGAAGACUGCAAAAUGGCUCGGAUGUUCGUGGGGUGGCUCUAGAAGGCGAAAAGGGGAGGACGGUCGACCUAACGCCUCCCGCCGUGGAGGCGAUCGCAGAGAGUUUUGGUGAAUGGGUUGUGGAGAGAUUGGAGAAGGAGAAAACAAAUGGAAGUGUGGAAAAUGUUAGGGUGUCACUUGGACGUGACCCUAGAAUUUCAGGUGCAUCCUUAAGUGCUGCUGUUUUUGCUGGUCUUGCUCGUGCUGGUUGUCUGGCUUUUGAUAUGGGGCUUGCAACUACACCGGCUUGCUUCAUGAGUACAUUGUUGCCUCCAUUUAUGUAUGAUGCUUCCAUAAUGGUAUUGAAAAACAGCUCCAUGUUUUUGAGCUUGUUAUGCAUACAUAUAAAAAUGGUAUAGACUGAUUUCUUCAAUGAUUUUGCACUAAAACUAUUGUUAAACAUAGAUAUCAAGUCUUGAAGCUUUUAAGGAAAAUAAUAAAAUUUGUAGAAAAUGCCUUUUGAGACCGUGUAGGAGAAGUUUGUGAAGACAAAACUUUUUAAAGCUAAAUAUUGUUUCCUUUUGCUUUCUAAGUGAUGCUAUGGCUAUUAUUUCCUGAAACAUGAUUUCAAGAAACCAGAUGGUAAUCUUGCUCUUCAACUUUUGUAAAUUCGAACUUCAAAAGACACUUGAUUUUCACAAAUACUUUUCUUUCAUCUGAAAUAAGUUAAAAGCAAAAUUAAAAGCCCGCUGGGAAACUAUAGUCUUUAAAAAUAGUUCAAGGCUUUAAGCAAAUGAGAGAAAAUGGGAAAAUACUACUACUAGGCUUUGGAUGUUUCUUUUAGUCUGUAUUAGUAUGCUAAUACGUGGAAGAAUUGAGAAAUAUAACAUGAUGCAGAUGACAGCUUCUCAUUUGCCAUACACCCGGAAUGGUCUGAAACUUUUCACCAAGAAAGGAGGCCUGACAUCGCUGGAUGUGGAGGAAAUAUGCUACAGAGCCGCCCGGAAAUAUGCUAAUAGACUUGCAAAAGUGUCAACUGCUCUACGGAAUCCACCAAAAAGAGUGGAUUUCAUGAGCACUUAUGCAAAACACCUCAGAGAUAUCAUCAAGGAAAGAGUUAAUCAUCCCUUGCAUUAUGACACUCCUCUCCAAGGAUUUCAGGUUGGAAAUUUUAGCACGAUCUUUAUUUAGUUUGUGACUGAAAAAUUCUCCUGCACGAGUUGUUUUUCCCUUGUUCUGUUCAUUCAUGUGCAAUGGUGGUUCCACCUACCUCAUCUAUGUUGGAAUCAAUUGUUAUACUAGCAAGUGAACAUUGGCCAUAAAAAUUGCAUGAUUGUCUGUGUUGUUAGGGUGAAUAUUAACCUUUGUUUGAUUUAUUUAUUUAUCUUUUCACCCCUUUCUACACCCUUCCUAUUUUCAACUGUCAGACAUAAGAUUUGAAUCCUGAAUCUGACAGUAAAGAAGACUCCAAGAACUCUUUCUUGUCUACUAGAUCGACCCCAGUGGUUAGGAUGAAUAUUAACCUAAAAUAUGUGAUUGAAAUAUACGAAUUUUAUCUGAUUAAUUUUUUUAAAAGUAAUUUUGCGUUUGUCUGAUUUAGUAAAAUGAACUACUGCCUACCAAUAUUUUCAUUAAAGAACUUGCUACGAUAUAAUAACUAAACUUUGGGCUCAGCCUAAUACUUUUGUCCAAAUAAAAUAACUUCAACCAAAGUGUCGGCCCACGCUCUUCCGGACCCCAACAGUCAAUACGCUUGCAACACAGGCUGGCCAGAAAUAGCAAUGAAACGGAAGGCCCAUUCUAAAACAAAAUGAAAAUUUGUUCUUAAAAAGAAAAUGAAAGAAGGAAAGAUAUAUGGGUACCUUCAAUUUACUUAUUCUAUACGGUGUUUUUUUGGGUAAAUUACAGAGUCUUUUUUAUUUAUUUUUCUUCUUAUUUGGGAUGCAUAUGGAGGAAAUCUGAUGAAAUUAAUGCAGAUAAUUGUGAAUGCUGGAAAUGGAUCAGGAGGGUUCUUUACAUACGAUGUCUUAGACAGGCUAGGAGCAGACACAUUCGGUUCUCUACACCUCAAUCCAGAUGGAAUGUUCCCUAACCACAUUCCUAACCCUGAGGACAAAACUGCCAUGGCCUUAACAAGGGCUGCAGUUCUUGAAAACAAAGCUGAUCUUGGCAUAGUUUUCGACACCGAUGUUGAUCGAAGCGGCGUCGUUGACAGCUCUGGCAACCCCAUAAAUGGUGACAAACUCAUAGCACUGAUGUCUGCCAUUGUCCUGAAAGAGCAUCCUGGAACUACAAUUGUGACUGAUGCACGUACAAGCAUGGCCCUGACUAGAUUCAUCACUGACAGAGGAGGUCAGCAUUGCCUGUAUCGAGUUGGAUAUAGAAAUGUGAUUGAUAAAGGAGUUCAGCUUAAUAAGGAUGGGAUGGAGACUCAUCUGAUGAUGGAAAUUACUGGCCAUGGUGCUCUCAAAGAAAACCAUUUCCUUGAUGAUGGUUAGUCUAUUUCUUCUACGGAAAAUAUCAAGAUUGCAGACACUGUAACUUACAAACUUAAAAGACAUAUAUUAAUAGUUUUCUAACAUAUCUCAUGUAACUCAGUCUGUCAAUCUGAUUCUAACUUUAUCCCUAAAUUUAAAAUAAACAUUCUCCCGAUUUCUUAAAAUUACUGGGGUUUACAUUGUCUUUUUUAUUUUGAAAAUCACAAUGUCUGUAAUGCAACUAUUGUCCUUGUUCUAUAUAUAAACAUGAAUCUUAAAUUUUGGCAUGGAUUCUUGAUAUGCACUUUACAUUGACUAAAUCAAGCGAUGUGGUUGAACUUUGCAGGUGCUUAUAUGGUUGUGAAGAUCAUCAUUGAGAUGGUAAGAAUGAAGCUUGAGGGCUCAGGUGAUGGAAUAGGUAGUCUUAUUAAAGAUCUUGAAGGGCCCCUGGAAUCAGCAGAGCUUAGGAUGAAUGUCAUUUCUGAGCCAAGGUUUGCAAAAGCCAAAGCCAUUGAGGCCAUUGAAACAUUCAGAAACUACGUUGAGGUACAUAUCUAUUACUUUGUGCUAAAAAAGAACAAGGAAAAUAGCAAGAACCAUAUCUGAUCAAAUCUUUAGUAUACUUUAUGCUAAAAGAAUGGUAAAUUAUUUGCAGGAAGGUCAGUUGCCAGGCUGGGAUUUAGACUCUUGUGGAGAGUGUUGGGUAAGUGAUGGCUGCCUUGUGGACACCAACGACACUCCAGCAGCUGUUGAUGCCCACAUGUACAGGUGCCAAAAGUUUUCAAACUAAUGCUCCGCCUCCUAUGUUUUUGGGGCUCCUUAAUCAAUCUCUCCUUUUCCUCUAUAACAAAUUUCCGCAUAAAAAUUACACCCCCUUCCCUUAAAUCCGUAUGAUGUAAAAGAAUUGAUCACCUAAUUUGAAAAACAUAAAACUUUUUCAAUGGUCAGGUAGAUCUUUAGGUUGCAUCAUUGUCUUUUAAACCUUAGGUUAUGGAUCCACCAUUGCUUUUGGCGAGAAUGGCUCAAGCUGCUCCUAAUCUAUUUAUCAUAAAAUGUUAACACCUUGACAAACUCUACAUAAUUGUAGUCCCAUUAUUGCUAAAUACAAAUUUGCUCAAACUCCAGGGCCAAAGUUUCUGACAAGGACAAUGCAGAACUUGGAUGGGUACAUCUUAGACAGAGCAUUCACAAUCCAAAUAUAGCUGUGAAUUUGCAAUCCAACGUACCAGGAGGUUGCCAAUUGAUGUCAAGAGACCUCAGGGACAAGUAAUUUCCAUUACUUCAUUAACACUAUUGAUUUCUUGGCUUCAUAUUAGUACUCUUGAAAUUUUGAUUCAUUCAGCCAAUUUAUCUAUGCUUUGAUUCGGAAUUUCAGGUUUCUUUUGGCAAGUGGGAUGGAUAGAAUUCUCGAUAUCAGUCAGAUUGACAAGUAUGCCAGAAGCGGAAGUGUUUGAUGAUAUGCAAAGCCUUGUGGAAAAAUCAAGCAUAGAUGUAUAGUAGAUAGUAUACAUAUAGAAGCAUAGAUGUAUAGUAUAUAGUAUACAUAUAGAAUAUUAGACCCGUGAAUUGUACCUACUUGUACAGUACGAACCCUUUUAUUGUAACAUUCAUAUACUUUUGAUCACUCAUUCAGUAACCAUACCAAUUAUUGUAAACAUUGACAAUUUGAGAUGGAAAACUCAACUUGGCCAUGCCAAGGGUAAUUCAUGCAUAUUUUCCUUCUCUUUUUGUGGCUUUUGACGGUUGUGGUAGCUAAGGUUAUGCUUCUUAUCAUAAGCCAUUGGUAAAUGUUGAUCCAUCCUUCUUGGUGUCACAACGAUUUGUGCAUAAAAGAGACAAACGAAUUUUUACAUGAUAGAUCAUAAAAAUGCUAAAAUGAAAUUUAUUUGAGACACACAUGGCAUGUAUUCUUGACUGGUUUUACAUUGAAAUUCCUGAUCAAGAAGCUUAUCAAGCUUGGAAAUGAUCUUGGUUCUUGAGGAAGUAAGCAUCAAUUAUGUUACUAACUUCACUUGCAAAGUCAAACAUGUGAUCAGGAGCAGGGACAUCUAAAUUCUGCUUCUCAUACUCGUAUGUCCAAUUAAGAAAAUUCUUCUCACCUUUUGAAGUUGCUUGGAAAGUUAUUAGCAAGCUCUUAUAAUCCUUCAGAAGAUCACCCUCAAGAAUUCUGUAAGUCGUUGACCUGUUAUCUUCAUCAACAGUUUCAAUAGUCUCCUUUACAGGAAUUAGUUUGCCAUCUGCAAUUAAUACACAUGAUUACAACAUGAACCAAAUUAGGAAUGAAAAAUCAACAAAAAAAAAAAAACAUUGCAUAUUUAUACAAGGUCUACACUCUUUAAUAUAAGAAGUCCAUGCAGGCCUUACCAAUCAAGUAAUUUACCAAAAGUUUGCAUCCUACUUCUCCCCAAUUUCCUUCAAGUAAUUCGAUGCUAGGAAGUUGUCAGGGCAGAUGCUUGGCAGAUAUUAUUGUUUCUUGCUGCCAUAAAUUUCGAAGAAAAGUAUUCCAGGAGAUGAGAUCUCCUGCUCGAACACUAGCUUGCCACUAAGACUCAUUCUUCUCUGGACAAUUUGAAGUAUAAAGUUCCCUUUGAUCUUUAUAUACUUGUAAAAUGUAGUUGUUUUGUUUCUGAGCAGAAAGUUUAAAAUCAUAUUUUGGGAUUGAGAUCUAUGAUUGGUUGCUUUUCCACGAGGCAGUCAUGAUCUGAAUGGUUGAUCCCUUGAUUAAAAACAAAAAAACAAAAAUACGUUUGAUCACCUAACCUCCUAAUUGGUGUUUUUUCUAGUCUCCCACUCUGAUUUCCUUUUUCAAGAAUAGGACAUCACAACUCCUAAUUGGUAUAUUUUACUCUCCACUCUGUUUAUCUUUUUCCAAGAAAAGGACCUGCGCCAACAAAAUAAGCUGAUUUAUCAUGACAAGAUUUCGUUACACAACUUUCUUUAGAACAGCAAAGCAAAGGGCAUCACAGAUGCUUUUGCUAUAGAAAUUGUCAGCAGAGGGGAUGAUUACAAUCAAUGUAUCACAGAUGUUAGUUCCAUGACUAUGAAGUUUUUGUGUUACAAAUUAACAUCAAAUUGAAUAUGGUUUUUGUCAGCUAAUUAAUAUCCAGAUUUAAUUUGUGUUAUCCACCAAAAGAGAAAAAUUAUUGCAUAUAUCUUCAUCUCCAAACGAAAAAUUCUACAAAGUAAACCUGAUAAUGCAAUGGACACAAACUUAAAAAGCAAGUAACAUGUUUGAUCAGUUUUCAACAAUGGGCUAGAGGUGACAAUGGAGAUUUAGCUGGUAGGCGUCCCUUUGCCAUUUACUAAAACCAUUGGUGGCUACUAGCUAGCCACUUUUUAAAAUCUUAGGGACCUGUACGAAAAUUGCCCCAAUUCUAAGCAUGCAAAAUACAAUUUUGUGAAACCACUGGAUUUUUAAAAAAAAAAAAAAAAAAAUUUCCUCUGUUUUUUUGUAUUCAAGAGAAGUAUAUAUUUGAUGGAGCACUUUGGCAGUACAUGAUUUAUUUCACCUUCCUUGGUCCUUGCCUAUUAAAUAAUGCACAAAAACAGUUUGUAGCCCACAUCUCCACAAUUUCCUUAAUGGUGGAACUUAAUUUACCUAGGCAAAUUUUACUAUUUUAGGCAGGGCAGCUUUCUUGGUGCGACAAGGCUCAAUGAGAGGAUGACCAAAGGGAAAAGAAUCAACCCAAUGAAGCAGAAUUUGAUUCCUUAGUUUGUCAUAUACAACUAAUACUACCAUUUUGCAAUUAUAAGUUGUUGGAGAAGGUUUUUAAUUCAUUCGAUUGGAUCUUCCUAAUCCAUCUAAAGUCACUUACGCUUCAUUAAUUUUUAACCAUAUCAUGUUGGAGAAAACUAUAGCCAUCUCAACUGGUAAAGAAGUAUAAUAUAAUGGUCAAAGGAUAGAAUUCCUCACUGCUAGUUCAAUAAAAUAUUAACAAGUCUUUGGGCAUGAUCUAGCAAAAUAUUCUUCAGAAAGAUUUGCUUUUGCUUGAUCACUUAUUUUAUUAUUAUUAUUAUUUUUUUUUAAAUCUCCACCUUGUCAUCCAAUCUAAUCUAACUCCCUGAAAUUCCCAACAGCUUAAGUUUAAGCUGGUAAAAGUGGAAUAUAUAUAUAUAUAUAUAUAUAUAUGCCACAACCAUGAGUCGAGUUUGCAAGACUUUUUUUUUCUUUGAGCACCCGAUAUUUUCACCUUUAGUAAAAUUAAAUCGAAUUUGAUUCAAAAAGCGUCCAUAAAAUUCGAUUCUUAUUUGAAGGUGAAGGUAUGGUCCAAAAUUUUUCAAAGUGCUACAUACAAGAGUCAAACCUAUGAUCUCCCAUUGGCAUUAGUAACAUGUUGACCGGCUGUCCCAAGUUCAUGAGUCCAAUUUGCAAGACUUGGAAAUACUGAUAAUAUAUUUUAUAAUAAAAGUGAAAAUCUGGAACAUGUAGACAAUUUAGUCGUAUCAUACUCUAUUAUUUUAAUCAUUAAGCUAUCCAACAAACGGCUAAUUUGGUCUAUUAAGCCUGCCUUCUUUACAAUUUGAUCAAACAACAUAAGCUGAAAGCUAUAAUAUGGCUUUGUCGACCAGAUCAUAAUUACUAAAAACACAAAAUUAGCAUUAUGCUUAGAUAAUCAAGUGAGUAAUUAAGUUCUCAAGCUUGAACCCCAUGGCUUUUGUUAUUCAUCUCCAGAUAACGUGCAUCAACUAUGCUGGUAAUUUCGCUAGCAAAGCCCUUCAAUGCAUCAGGAGGUGGAACAUCAGCAUUCAUCUUCUCAUAUAUGUAUGUCCACUUCAAGAAAUUCUUUCCAUGUUUUGGAAUAAUUUGGAAAGUGAUUUUCAAGGUUUUGUGCAUCUUCAUCAGGUCACCCUCAAAUAUAGCAUUUAGGUUCCAAUCAAACUGCUCCCUUCACUUUUCUUAAAUCAUUACAAUUCUCCUAUUAAAAAAAUGAUAAAAUAAAAGUUCGAUUCUGUUUAUGAUAUGGGCCACCCAAUGACCCAAGCUAAAUUUAAUUAUGGGCUUAGUUUCUCUCUGAAUUGUUUGGAGUAUGAAAUAUAACUGGACCACCUUUGAACCCGGCCAAAUUAGACAUUUAUACAGUCUGGAUUACUGGACAAACUGGGAAUAUGCAUUUCUUAAUGGGCCUCUUCUACAUUCUUGCCCGAGAAGAUAGGCCCCGUCUGGUCUCAAAGAUAUGGAUAAAAGAAAAGGAAUAUUGAAAAUGAAGAUUUACGAAUUUAGUAUUUUUCGUUUUUAUUCUUUUAGUUUGUUGAAUAGAAAGGCAUAUAGCUUGAGUAAUGAAGUAAAUAAAGUAUAAAAUCUUUAUACUUUUGUUUUUUACAGUUAAAUAGAUCAAUUUUACCCGAAAAAACAAAAGGGAACUAGCUAACAUAUCCAAUAGAUGGCCAAAUUAUAAUUUGGUCCUUGAAGCCUACCUUCCUUACACUUUGAUCAAACAAACAUACAUUGAAAUCUACGGUAUGGCUAUACCCUGAUUUAUGAUGGUAAUCAGAGUUGAAUCCAUCUAAACUUUUAAUUUCUAAGAGCCACAAGCUCGCAUUAUCAUUAGAUAAUUAAUUGAGUAAUUAAGUUAUCAAACUCGAACCCCAUGGUUUUUUUUUUUUUUUUGAAUUCAGUUCUAGACAAUGUGCAUCAAUUAAGCUGGUAAUUUCACUAGCAAAGCCUUUCAAUGCAUCAGGAGCAGGAACAUCAGUAUCCCUCGUCUCAUAUAAGCACGUCCACUUCAAGAAACUCUUUUCAUCAUUUGAAGUAACUUGGAGGGUGAUUUUCAAGGUGAUGUACAUUUUCAUAAGAUUCUCCUCGGAUAAAUCGUAAGUGAUCCACUGGUUCUUCUUGUCUACAGCUUCCACAGUUUGCAUUGAAGUCAAAACUUUCCCUCCUGCAAAAAAAAAAAAAAAAAUUAUAUAUAUAUAUAUAUAUAUCACAUGAAAAAUGGUUCAUUCAUUAAGUGGUAUAAACGUCAAGCCCUCUGACUCAAGGAUAUAUGGGCACACUUUUGUAGAAUUCUGUUUACACAAGAAAAUUUGGAGAAUUAGCACAAAGUUCAUAUGGUUUUUGGCAAGUGUUAAGUAAUUGUUGCAAUAACAAAAACCAUUGAAACUAAUUUCUAGAUUUUUGCUUCUAGUGUUUCUUUUAGGGCCUAGCAGUGUUAAAUGGCAUCUAGUAUUUCUUUUGAUUACCAUAAAAACAUAAUAGAAUUACCGGUUAAAAGAGCAACGUCACAAAAAAAAAAUUUUGACAAGAAGAAUAUUCUUACCAAUGGAGAAAUGGACAAGAAGAAUGCAGCCCACAUUUCCCCAAUAUCCUGCAAGUAAUUCAAUGAGACGAAUCCUAUCCGGGCAGAGUUUCAGUAAUUUAUGUAUCUUGCUGCCCAAAAUUUCGAAGAAAACAUUUCCAGGAGAUUUGAUUUCCUGGACAAAUUCUAGCUUACCGCCAAGGCUACACAUUAUUUUUAGUGCCACAAUUUUCCAGUAUACACUAUGCACUUGAUGAAUUUUGGAUAAGUCCUCGUAUACAUACCAGGUCGAAAGUAAACUCAAAUCCUUUUACAGAAGUACGUUACAAUAUAAAUUUUAGUUUUAGCGUUUGUUUGCUAAAUCAAUCGUAGUAUUCUCGUGAGCUCAUGCCAUGCCAAGACAAAGAAACGGUAAAAUGGGAUUUACGUUACUUACUCGAAAUGAAUUUUUUUUUAAAAAGAAAAAUACAAAGAAAUUAAUGUUAAAAGAUUUACUCCUUUUCAUAAAUUUUUAUCAAAAAGUACAUAGGGAAAGGGAUGGGUUGGGUGAUUCGGGAAAGGGAAUGUAAGUGAGAGAUUUUGGUUUUGAGCUUUCCACUCACGCUAUUAAAACAUAUAAAUUCAAAGUGUAUGUAAUUAGACUAAUUUUGGGAAUUAUUUAUUCUAACAUGGUCGACAUUAUUGAUGAAAUAUGGCAUCAGCAGAACCUAACACUUUGAAAUUCAUCUGUCCCAGAAUUUCAAAUGGUAACAUUUUUCCUUAAAAAUUUGGAAUAUUUAUUUUAGGGAGGUAAGAGCAUCCAGUGGAAUUGAAAUAUGAAUUUUGGCUAACGGGUGUGCAAUUUGCCCUCGUUGAAAUAUCAGCUUGGCUAACCGGUGUUCAAAUGGCCCUCGCUAAGUGGGACAUUAAGCAUUAAUUUUGAAAAAAUGUAAUUACUUUGAAAAAGUUUAUAAAUUCAGGGGAUAUAAUAAUUGUGAUUGUGUGAAUUUAUAUGGUAAGUUAGAUGUAAUUUAGGUACGUUAACAAGUAUCUACCUGGAUGGGAACCUUUACAAAAAUCCUAAGGCAUUGUUGUUUUGAGAGAAUGGGAGGGAAAGGAAAGCAAACGGAAAUGGAGGGAUAAAGUUUUUAAAUUUUGGAUUAGUUUUUGAGGAGAGAAAGAAAAGGAUUUGAAGGGAAAGGGAGGGAUAAGAAUAGUUUUUUUUUUUCAGUCUGCUUCACAUCCAAAAGUGGACAAAAUUAGAGAAAAAUGACAUCAAAAUUAGUGAAAAUUCACGUGUUUAUAAAUUAAACUUUAAACUAUGGAUAAAAAUGUAAUUGACGAUCGAUAGUGUCCUUUCCUUUCCUCCCAUAAUCCAAACAAAAUAGAUGGACUCAGAUUUCUUCUACUCCCCUUUCUUUUCUUUUCCACUAGAGCCUUCUCCUUUCGUUGUCUUCCCUUUCUUUCAAUCCAAACGGUGCCUAAAAGAAAAUACAAGAUGAUGCGACUAAAAGUUUAUACCAUUCCUAUCGACUGUCAAUUGCAUCAAAACAUGAACUUUGUCUAUAUAAUGUGCACGCUUUGUCACUGAUUUUUGUCGAGUGCUUAGACCAUGAUUGUUAGUGUUGCUUGUUGGAUAGUUACUCUCAGUAAAAUACUUCGAGAUUUUAGGCCAUAGCAUAUACUUAUGGCUUAUAAAGUGCAUUACUAUAGACAAAAACUACCCAAUCAGCAACAACGGUAAUAUUGGGUUUAAAUGGUACAAUACACUAGGAUAAUGUGCAUUUUACCGACUUCAUGAAUGUGAAGAACUAAAUAUUAAGUAUUAAUUAUUUGUUUUUUUGGAUAUAGUUGGCUUCAAUUAGCGCUCAAACUCGAGAUCUCACAAGGAGAAAGAGAUAUUUUUUUGGUAUGGUUUCUCUUUAUUACUAGAGUUGGUAUCAAAUGUACUUAGGAGACAGAUAACUUAAACGACCUUAAGCGAGGGCUAUGAGCUAUAAAACAAGAAGAGGACGAACUACUAGAAGAAGAAUAUGGGCAUAGUAGGGUUCCAAACAAAUCGAAUUGCUCGCUAGCAAUUCGAGUCAAAAGUUGACUUGAGUUAGAUCAACAUCGAGUUCAAACUAACUAAGUCGAACUUCAGGUCAAAUUCGAGUUCAAAGAUGCUUAACUUGUUAGCUUGCGAGUUAACUCGAUUUUAUAUAUUUAUAUUUAUAUUUUUUAUUUUAAUAGUAAAACUAGAAUUUUGCCCGUGCCUUACUAUGGUCUAUUUUUAUUUAUUGCGAAUUUAUACAAAUAUGAAUAAUUUAAAUACGAAAAUUAACAACAAUUCUACGUGUUCAUUCAUACUAACUUUAAAAAAUUAAUGUAUUCUAAAAGUUCAAUUAUUUUAAAGCUUUACUUGUUUUGGCCCUAGAUUCAUUUUCCUCAGUUAUGUAGACCACUGGACAUUAUUUUUUUUGCCCCUAUUAUUUUAUUUUAGUUUUCUUUUGUGUGAAAUUUUGAUCACGAAAUAUAACUAGAAGCACCUGGACCUGUCCAAAUUAAACACAUCUAUAGUAUGGAUUACUGAAUAAAAAGGAGCUUAUGUAUUUUGCUAAGGGGCAUCCUCCACAAAGUGGCACAAUUCAAAGGAAUUCUUACGCAGGUAGACAAACCCGUUUGAGAUGGGGAUAAAUUAAAAAAGAAAAAUUGAAAAGGGAGAUAUACCACCGUUUUAUUAAUUUUUUAAAUUUGGUAAGUCUUUUCUUUUUGAAAGGUUAGUUUGGUAAAUCAACUCAAGUAAUGAAGUAACAAAAGUAUAAACUUUAAACUCUUUACAGUUAAACAGCUCCCAAAAAAAAAAAAAAAAGGGUCAGUUUGCUAAAGAAUACAAUCUAGCUCUCAAGGUUAUACUUCUCAUCAGCCAUCAUACUGCUUCUGCUACUUUAAUUGUAAUAAGUUCAUGCUGGUAAAUGUAUUUGCACCAAAGUCAUGUCCAAAUAUUUAUUAUCUGAGUUAAAAAGAAAUAUAAGUGGUGCGAUAUUUUGGAAUUAUGAUUCUUUACUUUAAUGGAAUAUAUUAGACUAGUUGGCCAAAUAAAAGAAAUCAUUUGGGGUUAUAUUUUGAAAUCAGCAAAUUUGCCGAAGAAAAAUAGGUCCUUGCCAGUACGAAGCAACCACAUGUAUGUCACAAUAAAAUCACAAAUAUUCAUUACUCACAAAUAAUAUUUAUUUAUGUUGUUCAACUUUUACAAACAUUACUUGUGAAACUAACAAGCAUUAGCUUUAUAAUGACAUAGCACUUAAUAGCACACAUUUAUUCGUGCAUCCAUUUUAGAAGACACCAUAGCAACUUCAAACACGCUAAAUACUUAGAAGAGAUAUGUCUAUAUAUAUAGAUGGUUCAAGGAUUUUUGAUAUGAUGAGAUUCAAUGUCUUCAACCAUGUGAAGGAAAAAGUUGAGCAAGGUUCCUGGAUGUGGGGUAUCUUCCUUCAGCUUCUCAUAGUCGAGAGUCCAUGUAAUCAAACUUUCUUUGUCACCAAGAACAUCAACAUGGUAUAUGAUAGUGAAGGUCUUGUACAGCUCCAUCAGAUCUCCUUCAAUCAUCUUAAAUACGAUUGAUUUCUUUUCUUCAUUUAUGUCUUGAAUAAUCUGCUUUGCCACCCUAUCUUUCCCGUCUGUAAAAAUGAAAAGUAAAUCAAUUACAGACUCUCCAAUUCCUAGUCAACAUGCUGGUAAUCCAAAAACAAGGUUUGCGGAAUUCUUUCUUUUCUGUUUUUAGGAUAGACAAUACUAUUUACACAACCAGGGAAGUAUUCUCGUUGUGAAAUACCUGGUAUUUCGCAUAAAAAAUUUGAGAAAAAGCAAAAGAAAAAAAAUUCUGUAGUAUUAAUUGAUUGAAUUCUUUACGAAGAUGGACUUCCUUAAUUAACCUCUGUAGUUUCCACAAUCAGAUUAUUGUCUUUGUAGAAAUACUAAUAAUAAUAUUAUUAAUAGUAAUAGAUCUAGUCCGUUUUUCAUUAAAACUUUUUCCCGAGGCAGAUAUUAAGCUUUUAUCCUUUCUUUUUUCUGGCAAAUAAGUUAGAUAACUAGUUGUGUGCCAGUUCAAAGCAGGGAAAAACAGAUGGAGAGAGUUUAAAUCAACUUAGUCCAGAAGCUGACCGACACGCAACAAAAGCUAAAUGAAUAAAGGAAAAACAAGAAAAACUGCGGGGAAGAAAGUGCUAAAAUAAGGAACUUGAAUAUUGAUUCCAUACCAUGGGUAUAGUGCCAGCAGAUUUUGGAUCCAACAGUUCCAAGAUCACCACCAAGCAAAGUAAACCCUUGAACUUUCUCAGGAGUCAUGGUGGCAAGAUGGUGUGGUCUUUUGCUGAAGGCAUCAUGGAACACAUCUCCAGCAGGGCCAUGGAUGUUAGUUUGACCAAUCAUUUUACCUUUGAGCCCCAUUUUUUUUUUUUUUUUUUUUCUGAGAAACUGAGAAGGAAAUGACCAAAUACUGCUGCAGCAAAAAAAGGCAAAGAAAUAUUGAAGGAAGUCUCAGUUGUGGUCUGCUAGACUAUCCCUCUGCUCCUUAUAUAGUAUAGAACUGAUGGGUGACUUCACCCCCCACCUCCACCCCCACCCUUUCUUUUUCAGGCUCUAUAAACCACGUAAGAGGAACCAAUUAUCUUCGCCAGCAACUAUCAUUUUUUUUUUUUAAUUCAUGAGAUGUUGUAUUGGUACAUCAGCCCUAAUAAAUGAUACUCAGCAUCCAUUAAAAUGUGAUUAUCCUCAUUUUCUAUUAAUCUAUAAUCAUAUUACAUCUAUAGUUUUGCACUUAGGGUCAACAGACUCGACACCAUUCAUUUUUUUAAUGCCUACAACUAAGGUUUUCUUGUGGGCAACUUAAAUUUUAUUUUGAUCAAUCCUCCUUUGUCACCUUAACCAAAUUGGAUAGAAUGAGGUCCAUCCUUAACAAAUAUUUUUGGAUAGAUCUACUUCUCUUCUCCAUGCCCAAAAUGACGGCAUCGAUGAAUUUCAGAUGUUAGUGAAAAGCAAUAAAUCAUAUGUUCCCUUAAAUGGUUUUGGGUAGGUGAUGACUGAGGCUGUAUUAUUACCAAAAAAGAUAAAACUGUAUCACAUGAUUCACAGAUGACACCUCAUUUAAAUCUUCAUAAUUGCUUGCCAUUUCCCAAUCAAUGGGACCAUAUUUCAUCACGGUUUAUCUCUCCAAUGCAAUCUGUAUAUAUAUAAUGGUUUCUUAGGGCAGUAAUUAAUCGGUGGCAAGGCCUUGUUUGGGCUUUGGAUUGCAAUUUUUUUCAAAAAUUUUGAAGAAUAUUCUAUCAACACAUUUCACAACUCUUACCUCACAUGUGUCACAUUUGCCAAAAAAGUGCUACAAUAUUAUUUUUUAAAAUAAAUCCUACAAACUCCAAAUAAAUUUAAAAAAAAAGGGCAUUCUGUUAGGUUCAUGAAUAAAAUAUUAUGUUCCACAUUGAUCUGAAAGAUAGAGAGAAAACGAUUAAUAUGUAAAUAAGGGUCUAAAACCUAAUGAUUUAAGUUUUUGAAUUAGAGUUAGGUUUCUGAUUUAUAUAUUCAACUCUUUGGUGGGCUUUUUCGAGGUGUUAAUUCCUAUCAAAUUCAAUUUAUAAAACUUUUUAACCUGUGAUGUUAAAUGGGGAAAUCAUCUAAAGCUAGGAUUCCGCUAAACUGGUAAGGUUCAUAUACACAGUCUAAGAAAAGUUCGUGUUUGGGUCCUGCUGCGGUGCUUUCUUACUUUGUUUAUUUUACCAGCAUGAGCUCAGCUCGAUCUCGACUGUUUAUUUCACGUCAGCCGAAAAUUUUGAAAUCAAUGAUCCAAUGGAUCGAACCAAGUUCAUGUGGUCCGAUCCAUGUCGAGAAUUUAAUAGUGCGCUUGGCAAGCCAACCACACCGAUACCUCACCUGUUCCCAUCAACCUUCUUUUAAGUUUUCAAAUUAUUUUCCAUCUUACACACAUUUUACACAUAUCAAUAACAUCUUGCACACAUUUUCCACUUCGAGUGAAACCAUUCAUUUUUUAGUGCCUAUAACUAAGGUUUUCUUGUGGGCAACUUAAAUUUUAUUUUAAUCGAUAUCUCUUAGUCUGAUUUUUGCUUUACGACAAGAAUACGUCACCAACAUUGGAUAGAAUGAAGGCCAUCCUUGACAAAUUAUUUUGGAGAGAUCUACUUCUCUUGUCCCCGGCAAAAAUGACUCUCCAAUAAUGACUCCUAGAAGUUAGUUAACACAAUAAAUGAUAUGAAUGAGUUUGGGACAGCUAGCAAGCAAGUUGCUAAUGUCAAUAGUAGAUCGCAAGUUCGACUCUACAUGUGACGUCUUGAAAAACUCCGGUAGGAUGCUCACCCCCGAAUAAAAGUCAAACUUUACGGAUUCUCCUUGGACGGAAUCCGGAUUAGUUUUACUAAGAGUGGAGAUAUCGGAUGCUUAAAGCAAAACAAAUAAAUAAAUAAAUAAUGAUAUCCUCUUCUUACAUGGUUUUUGGUAGGUGACAACUGAGGCAUACUAUUACCAAAUGGGAAAUAAACUGAUGCCAUACCACUUCACAUGAUUCACACAACACAUAAAAUUUCUUAAUUGUUUCCGGCAGUGGGGCCAUAUUUCAUGGGUAAAUUUGGGAUCCUUAUCAAAGAUUAAUUGGGAGACAAGUUAAGGCCUUAUUUGGAUUACAGUUUUCUUAAGAAAUUUUUUUACGUUUUGCGUGAACACAUUUAUGAAUCAUAUUUUUAUUUCACAUAUAUCAAAUUGUUGCAACAUAUUUUUUUUACAAAAACUUUUAAAAAUAGUAGUCCAAAUGGGUUCUUACCUAUUUAGGACUUCGAUGUUUUCUCUGGUUUUAGAAUUACGUAACCUUUGCCUCUUCCUGAACUUUUCGCUGCCAAAAAAAAAUCUAAUUAAAAACUCGUCUUAUGUGGAUGCGGGGCACUGGUGAGUGAAGCAAGGCCAACGCCGUGGUGUAAAUGUGUAAUAUGGGACAUUGACUUCAAAAUUUGGAAAUCAACUAUCGAUCAUCAAAUUAAGCUCAUCCGGUCCAAUCACCAUAAAUUGGAUGAUUGUUUUGGUUCAACCGCACCAACACUUAACCCAUUUUAUGUGUAUAUAUUAUGUGUACUGAGGAUAGCCAUCCUGGCUCGGCCAUAUCGAGCUCAACCCUUUGUUAUUUGGGAUGGGUUGCCACAAGUCUUGGUUACCUAUGCUAGACAUCGCAUGCGGAUAAUCGAGGUGACUCCCACAUCCAUUGAUACCUUGGAUUGGUGCUGUGCUUGACACGAUAUCCGAAGUCUUAUCAGAGAACUUGACACAUGCAUGGCGGACAAGACAUCUGAUGGGACCUGUCAACUGCUUCGUGCUGUCAAAUCAGACUGGACAUGUUAGUUCCUGUUAGGUCCUAGGAAGUUGAAACCCACUAUUCCUUCCUCCCACUUGUCCCCUAUAAAUACUACUCCCUCUCCUUCAGAAAGGGGGAGGAGAAAAAAGAGAGUAAGGACUCUUCUAUUUCUGUUUCAUUAUUAACUUUCCAAGAAAACUAACUUAAUCAUCGGAGGUAUUUCGAGGGAAAAUGCCCUGUCUAGUAUGUGUAUUAAGAAAAGAACACCACCAAAUCACCUCGAUCAGGAAGAGGAGGCAUCAGGUCAGCUCGGCUUGACCAUUUAGGAACAGCCUCUUCAUGUGUAUAUCAACUUUCUUUUAAUAGGAUGAAGACAAGUUUGCAGUAAAUACCAAAUACCCACCAACUACACCUCACAUCACCCCGUUUUAUGUAUAUCAACUUUCUUUUUUAAUGGAAUGAAAAUAAUUCGGGAAUAAGUUUGCAGUAAAUACCAAAUACCCACCAACUGCACCUCGCAUCACCCCGUUUUAUGUAUAUCAGCUUUCUUUUUUUAAUGGAAUGAAAAUAAUUCCGGAAUAUGUAUUUGUUUUCUUACGAGUUUCAAUUGGAUACUCAUUAAGACAUCUAAAGUACAGUAAAAUUAUCAUGUGAAAAUACAUAUUAACAUUUAUUAUACCUCCUAAAUUGCAACAUUUUUUUUCAAAUUAGUUAUACUUUUUCAAAAAAAAAAAAACUAAUAUCUAGUACUUUUUUAACGAGUGGCCAAUACACACUCGUUAGUCAAACCGUAGAAUUAGAUACCCAAAUCUUUUAACCCAAAAAAAGGUCCAAUUCAGUCGGGGGGGCCAAACAAGCUAUAUGUCAUUCAUGUUUGGGGGGGUUAAAUUCUCAGAAGUGAUUUUUAUUGUGAAAAAACAAGAUAUAGCCAUAUAGGCAAAGAAGUGGACUGUAUUAAAUUGGGACAUCGUAAUUCGUAAUCUUUAUCACAGCAACCUUACUUGAAAUACGGGAAUUAAUGAAAGUUAAGUGCACUGGACAUUAUUUAAUGUAUUUAAUAAAUUAAUAGAGGCCCCUUUGAUUCUUGACUCAUGGAUGCAAAGAAACAGGUCCCCAUAAGAGUUAGAAUAAAGUUUGGUACUAAAAAAAUUUUUGUAGGAAAUUAAACCAAGCUAUUUUAGUAUUAGUCUCCUAAUUCUUUUUGGUGUCUUAUUUGUCUAGUUUCCAUAUUAAAUUAAGAAAUCUCAAUCAGUUUUCAAGUAAGUUUUGGGUUAUAACUGUAUUUGUUUUAAAAAAUUUUGGAGUCUAUAAAUACUAACAGCUUAGUAAGUUAUUAUUUGAAGAGUUGACUUGAGUUUUAAGAGUAGGUUUGAGAGAAAAUCUCAUAGUUAAGAUUUGUGAGCGAAAAGUUAUGACUUGAUAUUUAUUAUUGCUGGGUUUUGAAAUAAAUAAAUUAUUGAGUAUUUGUUCUCCUCCUCUUCCCACAUAUUUUUAUAUGUGUCAAAAUUGUUUCUGCUGUGCGCGAGGAUUUUUGGUGUGCUAACAAGUGAUAUCAGAGCUCUAGACUUUGAUCCUGGGGUUUGUCCGCAAAAUUGGGGCUUGGAGCUUGUUCGUGAAACUAAAGUAUGGAUCCCCAUUAUUUACAAUAUUGUCCUGCUUUUAUCUUUGAUGGUAAAAAUAAUUUUGAGACUUGGAGGUCAAUGAUGAAGGAUUUUUCAAAGAUAUUGGAAUUUUGGAAUAUUAUCCAAAAGGGGUUCACAGAAUCUAUAACUAGGGGUGGGUCAAAAAAUCCGUCGAUCCGAAAACCUGACUAAUUCGAUCCGAAAAAUAGGAUAUCUGAUCCAACUUUUUUUAGCGGGGCAGAUGCGGGUCGGGUACCCUAAAAAGGGAUACGAAUAUGGAUCAAGAAAAUAAAAACCCAUGGGUACCCGACCCGCAAGGUAUAUUAUGUAAAUAUUAAAAAAUUAGGGGUCAUUUUAUAAUUUUAUAAUUUUUAAUCCUAAGUGUAAGUAAAGUGACUCACAACCUCAUAUUCUAAUCCCAUAUGAUCCGCCUCUCCUUAUCUUGUUUGAAAAAAGUGAAUAUUCUUGAUGAAACCUAAACCAAAUGAACAAAAUGAAGAAAAAUUUGUGAAACUCUAUCAUAAAAAUUGUUUAUCCAUUUCAUUUCCAUUUCAUUUUAUAUUAAAAAUUAGGGUCCUAGUUGGGUCACCGUCUGAGAUUUUCAUUUGCAAGAAGAAAUCAAAUAUUGAGAGAUUUUCUUGGCCCUAGUUGGGUUCUUUUCUUGGGGGUGGUCCUUUUCAUCCUAGUUGGGUCCUUUUCAUUUCAUCCUAGUUGGGUUCUUGGGGGUGGUCCUAGUUGGGUCCUUUUCUUGGGGGUGGUCCUAGUUGGGUCACCGUCUGAGAUUUUCUUGGCCAGAAGAAAUCAAAUAUUGAUACCAUUAAGCCUAGAAGAUAUUCUUUUCAAUUAAAAAGAUGCAACUUUGGUUGGUUUUCAAUGCAUUUUUCAUAAAUCUGCAAGCUAACUGAGUGUCCCGGGCAAAAAUUAAUUGGUCGCGAAGUUUUAGCAUUCAUAAGACUUUAAUGUUUUCUGUGAUUUUGGAACUAGGUAACCAUACAAUCUUUCUGAACUUUUCUUUACCAAAAAAAAAAAAAAAAUUAUAGCAGGACAAAAUUAAUAGGAGUUCAUGUUAUUUGAAAAAAUCUAGUUUUAUGUGGAUCCGAUGGACCGGCGGGUGAAAGAUCAAUAUCUUGAAAUCAAUAUUGACUUCAAUGUCUUGAAAUCAAACAUGUAACAUCAAAUUUCCUCCUGUGGGGAGGUUGUUUAGGGGGAGUUUCUUCUCUCUUAAAGAUUUUUAGUGAGAGUUUCUUCUCUUCUAAAAAUUUUUAGUGAGAGAUUUUGUGGUUAGUCUACCUCUUAUAUUAGAUAUAGAUUUUUUGAAAUUUGGUUGUCACCAUGUCAAUUCUCACUUUAAUAUAUGAAUUUAAAUCAAUUCAUUAUCAGAUUUAGAAGGAAGCAUGCGGUAUAGUUGGAAGCAUACGCGAAUGAUCUUAAGAUUAAAAAUAUUUUAUCUUUUAAUUUUUUUUAGAAUUUCAAUGUUAUACGUUAUUGAUUUUCUAGAUUUGUAUAAUUGAUAUAAUUUCUGUCACUAACGCAGAUUUAAUGAAAUGAUGCUGUUUUUUUAUUAAACAUAAAUGUGUCAUCAAGUUGAGCUCAUGCAGUCCAAUCAUUGUAAAUAUUGAUUUGAGUGUUUGGAUUGUCAAUUAUUUCACUUUAUUUACACCUUAUUUAUACACACUUAUUUGCUUGCAUCAUCAGCAUAUUUUUUAAUCACCUUUUUAUCUUACAUAUAUCAUAUCAAAAAAGUGCUACAGUACUUUUUCACAAAAUUUUUUCAAAUAAUUUACAAUCCAAAUAAUGUAAAGGAUGAUGCUGUUGGUCAACUGCCCAACACCUCCACUAUUUUUAUUUUUUUAAUAUUUAUAGAAUAAAGACAAUUUAGCAAUAAAUACCAAACACCCACCAAUGCACCUCACCGCACCCCGUUUUCCGCACAUCAACUUUCUUUUAUGGAAUGAAGAUAAGUUAGGAUUCAAUAACCAUAUCCUUUAACCGACGAAAAAAAGAAAGAAAAAAAGAAUCCGAUUUAGUCCGAGGGGCCAAAGAAGCCAUCUGUAAUUCAUAACUCAUAUUUGCAGAAAUGAUUUUAAUUGUCAGAAGAUCAAAAGAUGGGCAGAGUAGUGGACUGCAUUUAAUUGAGAUGUUGUAAUUCGUAAACUUUAUAAGGGCACAAGAGUUAUGAUUAAAUUUGGUACCCAAAAAAAAAAGCAAAAAACUUCGAUAAAGCAUUCUUUUUUUUUUUAAUGAAACGAUAAGAUUUUUUCAUUCACUAAAAGGAAUUUACAUGUGUGAGCAAAGGCUCGAAAAGCUUUACAACUAGUGCUCAAGUGCACUGAGGAAAGUACCAUUCCUCAUUCACAAGAAUGCCUAAGGCAUAAAAACUAAGUCUUUUACAAUUUGUCAUAUUUUCUUCACUAACCAGCUCAAAAGAGCACAUGCAAAACAUCUUCUGCAAUUCAGUAAUAUCAUCAACCAAUGUUGCUAAACGGCUUUCUGAGGAGCUCUGAUGCCUUAACUGUCUCAGUAAUUCUUUGUUGUGGAAAAGGAUUUUGAUCCUGUCCCAAUGUUGCUCCAUAGCUUUACUUAAGACCAGUUUAACUGCUACCGCAUCAUCAAGGAUCUUCGUUCCGAGUGUUCUCUCCUUUAGUGCCCAUUCUACAAUCCUUGUGUGCUGGUAUGUCCUAGCUAUGGCUCCAACUCCAAAUGAAGGCUGUCUUUGCUGGCUUGUUGUAUUCACUUCCAGUAUUAUGAUCCCCUCAUCUUCAUGCUCCUGCUGAUGUACUGUUUGGUUGACAGCUAUUUCUCCUGUGCUCAUGCUGUCCUUAGUUUUUCCUUGUUUCUCUUGUUUCAUCCACUCCUUCUGAGCCUUGUUCAUUGUCUUCACCGGUGGACAUCUGUUUUGAUUUUCAAAAUCCUUCUUAUUUCUUUCUUUCCACACUUGCAGAAUAUUUGCAGUCAGUCCAAUAUGCUGUGCCCCUUCUAGUCUUGUCUUUGCCUCUGAUAUUUUGCUCCACCAUCGUUUGAAGUCUCCUUGUUGAUCUCUAGCUCCAUCCCAUUGUAUUGGGGUCACUUUCCAUAUAUCCAAGGUAUUUGGGCAGUUUAAUAGUAGAUGUUCCACUAUUUCCUGGCUCUCCCCACAAGCUCUACAUAUUGAAUCUCCCAUUCCUGUCCUUCUGAAGAUUGCUUCUCUGACUGGCAAUGCCCCUUUGAUGCACUUCCAUAUAAACAGCUUAAUCUUAUGUUUUAUGUUAAGCUUCCAAAGAGUAUUCCAUAUUUGUUUCAGUUGUUGGCUUUCUUCCAUUAUGCUUGGACCAGCUUUUCCUAAUUUUGCCUUCUCAGUACUGUUAUUUUCUUCCAUCAAAAGUUUGUAUCCAGAACUUACAGAAUAACAACCUCCUGCAUUGUGUUGCCAAAAAUAGCUAUCCUCCCUACCUAUUGAACUGAUAGGGAUGCUUAAAAUCCUCUCUCCAUCACUUUGGUUAAAAACUCUAAAAAUGGUGUUCCUGUCCCAUCUUUUCUGAAUGAUAAGCUCGUGUACUAUCUUUAGUGAGCUGUUAAGAGGUCUUGGGGUAGAAGGCUUACCAGAAGAUGAUCCUGGAAUCCAUUUAUACUCCCAAAUGUUUGUGCUUUUCCCAUUGCCAAUCCUCUUGAUCACACCUUUUUCAACUAAGCUUCUGGCUCCUAAUAGACUUUGCCAAAUCCAAGAGACAUUUUUUUGAGGUUUGCACUUGAAUAUGGAGUCCUUAGGGAAGUACUUAGCUCUCAGUACUCUACUGAUGAGUAGAUUUGGAUUGGUUAAAACUGUGAGAACCCGUUUUGCCCUAAGAAUUUUCCUAGGGUUUUUCCCCUUUAAUUGCUUGUUUUCUGCAUUUUCUGGCUUAGGAAAAUUUUCUUGGUGGAUUUUAUGAGUAAUUAUAGUUUUUAGAUGAUUUUCCUAGCAUUGGGUAGUUUUUGCAAAAUUACGGAUAGAUUAUGGAUGUGGGCCCCGCUAGUGCGAAAAGUUCGGAAAAAUUCGGCCAAUAAGGUUAAGUUUCGGAUACUGUGAAAAAUUUAUCGGGUGAUAAGAGAUAAGUAGAGUGUGUGAUAUGAUUGAUGUGAGAGAGAAAAGAAAGGAUAGGAAUGCAUUUAUUGGAGUGCCACAUGUCACCAUGAUAUUGGUUAGGACUUCAGAGUUACUAUUCUUUUUUUUGACUAUUUUGACUAAGUGGUUAAUAUCUUCAAAAAUCACUAAAAUUCACCAUUUUUCACCUCUUGUUGGCCGGCCCUCUCAAGCUCAAAGAAGGAAGAAACUUCAUCAAUUUUCAAGCUUCCAUUUGGUCCAAUCUUCCAAAAACAAAUACCUAAACUAGAUUUCACUCCAUAAAAUUCCUCCCUUGGGUGCUAGUAAGUAGUUUAGUGAAGUUUGUUUGAAGACUUAAGGUGUCCAACAUCUUCCUCUCUCUUGAUUACUUGGUAAGUGGUAUAUGAACACCCUCCUAUAUCUAAUGAUGUUGAAUUUAUGCCUAAUGGUGGCUAUUGUGUUAGAAAUUGUGGAUUAUUUCAUGGUUUGGAAUGAAUUGGUUGAGUUUUUUGUUUUUUGAGGAAUUUUCUGGUUUCAUAUGUUCUUGAUGGUGUGGUUGUUUUUGAUGGUUGGUAAUAAGGGGCUUUGACUCUAGUAGGUGUGAAUUGUUGAUAAAUGCAAUCAAUUUUGGAUUUGGAUUGAAUUGAGAAAUGUUAGGGUUUCAAAACCCCUAAUUCUGUCCGGUUUUAGAUCAUAGAUAGAGGCCGAAUUGGACUUUGCUCAAAACAUGAAAGUUGUAGGUAUUGAUGAGUAUGAAGUGUCUGCAAAAUUUCAGGGCAUUUGGAGUCGUAUAGAGUGAGUUAUGCCAUUUUUACUGUUGCUGUUUUUGGUGAACAGAAUGUCCGAACUGCGAUAGUAAUUGCCUGUUUUGACUGGAAUUGGUUUGGAUUUUGUUGUUGGUGUCUUCUGAUGAAAUGUAGCUUGAUGUCUUAGCUUUCAUAUACCUUUGGAAUCAAUGCAUUUGGACCUGUGUAGGCUGAGAUAGACUGAUUACAGUUUUGUGUGAUUUGGGAACCUGCAAUUACGAUUCUGGGUUGGUUUUCUGCAUUUUUGACCUAGUUGUACUAGGAUUUGGACUGAGUGGCCUUCUACAUUGUUGUAGCCCUGUCUCUUAGCUUCUCGAUGGUGGGUCUUGCACCCUCAUCCGAUAAGCGUAGCGCAUUUUGUGCCAUUACCGCAUAAGGAGGACGAAAACUGUUUUUUUGUUAAGGACAAGUUAGUGCAUUGCUGAAUUUUCUGGUUUGCUAUAAUGCCUAUAUAUGCAUAGAAAACCUUAUUGGGAUUGUGAUUGGCAUUGCUUUAUGACUCGUUAUCGAGUCUCAUUGCACUUGUUUGCAUGUUCUAGGAAGUGACGGUGGUGCACGACGUUCGUUUAGCGACGGUGCUUGACACAUCACCUACUUGAGUGUGAGUAUACUACUCACUUGAAUGUUACAAUGUGGCUUUGCUAUAUGUGAUUUUGGUGCCUUGAAGGCUUAUUUGGCUAUUGGAAUGGAUUGAGGUGAGGGUGUACUUGACCGCCCUCACCCCUUGUGAUACCGUUAAUGACUGAUUACCGUUUUACUGAUAUACUGCACUUGCUAUAUGAGAUAUUGAAUUCACUUCAUGAAAAACUGAUUGGGUGUCGUUUGGAGGAGUAUCCAACGGCCUUACUGUACUACUGAGCUCAACCCCGUUGGUAGUCAAUUGAAUCGAGCCGGCGAGGGUUUGGUCGUGAAAAUUGACAUGCCACGGGGACUGUACUGAGGAAUCUUGUAGUAAUGAGACUCUUGGUUCCGGUAUACUCGAGUAUUACCAAAAGCUACUGAUUGGAGUGCGGGCCCGGUUGGGGUAUGUUUGGUGGAAGGAAUGGGAGUGAAGUGGGUUCUACGGUUGGUACUCAUGAACGUUGACGGAGAGUCAAUGAGAUUGGAUCAAGAAUAUAAGCGUGGAAAUGGGCUCUUGAGAGCCGUCCGUAUCCUUUUACCGACUUGUCUUAUUUCUUAAUUGCGUACUUGAAAUGAAAGUUUAAGGUUAAGUGAUCUUUGUUGAUUAUGUGAUAGUUGCUCACUGAGCUUUAGCUCACUCCGUUCCAUUUGUUUUCCUUACAGGAAAAAUGACUAUUUUGAGAAAGAAAGGAUCAUACUUGUUGGUUGCCAAAUUGAGCCAUGUAUAUGUCUAUUUUGAAUAGCCCUUUGCAUGAAACCCUAAUGUGUAUUGGGUUCACCCUUUUGAUUGACAAACCGAACAUGUGUAUCCAUGAGGAAUAGCUUUUGACAUGCCAAUGUGGUUGUAAAUGUUGAAUUUCAUUGUAUUUAUGUUUGGUUGACUUUCGGAUUGAUUCGGCUUGCAAACGGCAAAAGGAAAAUUUUUGACGGAAAGGCACUGGAUUGAAUCCGGCCAGGAAUCCGGCCAGAAACUGGCCGGAUUGUCGGCCGGAUUGCGUUGGAAAAUUUUGAAUCCGUGAACUUGCUCACUGGACAGUAUCCGGCCAAGAAUCCGGCCGCUAAUCCGGCCAGGUUCCGGCCGGAUUUUGCUGUCCAGGCCACUAUUCAUCGUUUUCGUUUUUUUUUAUUUUGAUUAUUUGAUACUUGUGGCUUGUCCGAACGCGCUUUUACUUUCCCGAAACGUUCUAGAUCGCGUGUAACUGCCCGUAGUCCUGGCGAGAGUUGGGCAGGCAGUCCGCUAACCCCUUUGGUUCGCCUUAGGGGAAAGUGGGGCUGUUACAAAAACCCUCCAGAUCUGCUUCCCCAACAAAGCCUUAUUAAAUGCUUCUAUAUCCUUGAAUCCUAAGCCACCUUCAGAUUUUUUCAGUGCCACUUUUUUCCAUGACAGCCAAUGCAUCUUGCUUUUCCCAUAUGUCUCUCCCCACCAGUAGUUAGCCAUAGAUGCAGUAAUGUCUUUGCACAGCUUCCUUGACAGUUAAAGCAGAACAUGGCAUAUGUAGGCAUUGCCAUAGAGACUACCUUCAGCAUUACCUCCUUACUUGCAGUACUUAGUAACUUAUUUUUCCAAUCCUGAAGCUUUCUUCUUAUGUUGUCUCUGAUGAACCCAAACACCUGAUCCUUUGUUCUUGUUAUCACCAUUGGGAGACCUAAAUAUUUCUCUUGUGUCAUUUCUACCAUUCCACCCAGAGCACUGCAUAUUUCCUUCCUUUGUUCCAGAUUCAUGUUUUUGCUAAAAAAUAUAGCUGAUUUAUCUAAAUUGAUCAGCUGACCUGAUGCCUCUUCAUACGUUUUGAGGAGCUUCAUAAUUUCAUUGGCCUGAUGAAUACUGGCUUUACAGAAAAUGAGUGAGUCAUCUGCAAAGAAGAGAUGAGUAAUGAUAGGCCCUUGCCUACUAAUUCUCAGCCCUUUUAUCUCAUUUCUUCCUUCUGCUUUUCUCAACAGGCUUGAGAAACCUUCUGAACGGAUUAAGAAAAGGUAGGGAGACAAGGGAUCUCCCUGCCUUAUUCCUCUCCCUGGUGUAACAAAGCCUUUGAUUUCUCCAUUGCAGUUGAAAGAGUAAGUGACAGACUUCAUACAACUAGUAAUCCAAUUGAUCCAUUGUGGACAGAAUCCCAUCUUCUGCAUCAUUGCCUGCAAAAAAUGCCACUCCACUCUAUCAUAGGCUUUAGCCAUGUCCAACUUGAUUGCCAUGUAUCCUUCAGUUCCUUGCCUUUUAUUUUUGAGGUAGUGCAUGUACUCAUGGGCUAUAUUUUAGUAUUUUACACUCGCGCUACGUCAGAAAAUGGAACAUGAACAUAGAUGAGGCAUUAAAAACUUAUGUUACGUUAAAUAUUAGGAGAAGUGAUAUCUGCACUCUUAAAUUAGUUUCUAAUAUUGUUUAGAGACUAUAUAUUUUUAGUGAAUAAAUUGAAGUGUAAGAGGUUAAAUGACAAGUGCGAGUAUCAAUUUCCAAUACCAGAGUAUUUUCCUAUCAUUCUACUAAUAAACUUGUCCCUAUCUAAACCUAGAGAUAUGUCCACCAAGUCCUACUUGGGUGACAGAGAUUUUCUUGGCUAGUAGAAAUAGACAUUGAUAAUUUGAGAGGUUAAAUGAGAAGUGCAAAUAUCAAUUUCCAAUAUCAGAGUAUUUUCCUAUCUUUCCACUAAUAGACUUGUCCCUGUCUAAACCUAGAGAUAUGUCCACCAAGUCCUACUUGGGUCAGGUUAGCAGAAAUCGAUGUUGAUAGUUUGAUACCAUUAAGUCCAAAAAAUUAGGUGGGCUUGGCUCUGAUCACUACUCACGGUAUGCCGUGAUACGUGGUUGUGAUCAAAGCCAAACUCAUCUAAACUUUUUAUAACAAAAAAAUCAUUAAUUAUAAAAGUUUUUUUUAAAAAUAAAAGGAUGCAAUCUUUGGUUGGUUUUCAAUGGAUUUUACGUAAAUCUGCAAGCUAAUUGAGGUCCCUACCAAAUAAAUGGAAAGAAAAUAGUCCGUACCAUGUUAUGUUAAUUUUCAUUGGGGGGGGGGGGUGUUUGACACCCACUCUACACAUGAUUCAUGGCUUAAUUAAUUUGAGUUUACAAUAUCCACUCAAAUCAAUCUGAUAUGACAGGAGACAAAUAAUGUAUCACUUGAUUUUUUUUAUGUGUAUAUAUCAUAUCUUGAUUUUUUUUAUGUGUAUAUAUCAUAUCACGAUGCUAUUGCAAAUUUUUGUUUAAAAAUUACUUGCAUAUACAAAUUCACCCGUGGCGUGCAAAUCUUUUUUUUUUUUUUUUGUCAAAUCAAUGUAGUAGCGUCUUAAUCCCUAGGGUUCUUAGUGAUAAAUCAAAUUGACAAAUUAGUAAUCUAACACAUCACUAAAGUUGUGCAAGUUGCAACCGAACCAUUUAAUAUUCUCAGACUGGCAACAUCAACUGGUUAAACUUUUAAUUCAAGUUUUCGCUAGGAGACAUAUUUUGCUUUUCUUCUACAGUUCAAAUAGAAAUUAAAUUUAAUUUAUCCACUACAGAUAAUCAUACAAACUGAGCUAACAAUAAAAAAGGAAAAUACUGCAGGAAGUACCAUCUAAAACCAAAGAGAUAAAGAGAUUCCGCAGCUCAGUCACAACAUUGCACUUUUACUAUGUUAUUGUAUAAUUUUAAGAAUUAGUGUUUUAUACACCAUUAGUGUAAAGUUUUUUUACAUUAAUAGGUAUAGAUAUAUGAUACAUAGACAAAACGUGAAUUUAAAGUUUGAAUAGUGAUGCCGUAGCAUUCAUCUAAACCUACUUGUGUAAAAAGAAAGAAAAACUUUACACUAAUUGUGUAUAAAAAUUAGGGAUAAUAUCAGAAACCUCCCUUAAGGUUUCUCUUAAUAUCACUUGACACCCUUGAGGUUUUGAAAAUAUUAUUUACCUCCCCUAAUAAUUAUAAAAAGACUAUAUUAACCCUCAUGGGCACAUAAUUCACAACAUAUCAAAUAAAUAGAGCUUAAAAAUUGAAAAAACAACAAACGAAAGUCAUUUUCUUCUUUUUUCAUUUUCUCUAUCAUUCUCUCUUACUCAUAUUUUUUGGAUGACUAUGCAAUAUUUUAUUUGUAAAUUAUAAUAAACUAAAAUUUGUUUAUCUUUUACUUUCUGUGAUUGUGAUAAAGUGGGGUAUGAUUUAUUUACUUAUUUUAAAUUAAUUUUUAUAAUGAUUGGUACAGUUUAAAGGUUUGGAUAAGGGUUGAGAAGAUGUUGGGAAAAAAUAGAAAAUUAAAAGAAAUCAGUUUUAAGCAUAUAUAAUAAAUUGAUGCAAGUGUAUUUCUUUUCAAAAACAAAACAAAUCGCCUUAAUUUCACGGCUAAAUCACUCUCACUGCCCUUUUUUUCAUCACAUGGACAUAGGGUCCCCCAUUCUCAAUAAGAGGAUGGUGACUGCCGGCGAAGGUGGUGGCCAGCGGUGAUGAUAGUGUGUGAAAAAGGAGAAAGAGGGUGAGAAUUUAUUUUACUUUAGUGCAUUUUUAAAUAUAUUUUUGAGGUUGUUUUUGAAGUCAUUGUGGAUUUCAAAUAUAAAAACGAAUAUUUCUAAGACAGUAGAAUCCCAACAGAGCCAUAUAUUUUUUAUUUUUAAAUUUAUAUUUUUAUAGAGUAUAGCAUUGUGAUGUGGUAGAACUACAAGAGAUUGUUUUUGAGGUGAUAGUUUUCUUGAAGUGAACAAAGUGAUUUAAAAAUAUUUUUAUUUAGCAAAUGAAAGGGUAGAUUAUGGUUUUUAAAAAUUUUGUUACACAAAUAACAAAAGUAAGGGAGGUAAGUGAUAUUUUUAAAACCUUAGGAGUGCUAGGUGAUAUUAAGAAAAACCUUAGGGGAAGUUUCUGAUGUUGUCCCUAAAAAUUAAUCCCUAAGUUUAAUCAUAGUGCUUGUAACAUAAAUUAGAUUAGAAAAGCACUUGCAUAGUUCUCUAUCACAUGCUUUAUGCUGAACUACUCUUUUGAGCAUAACCAUUAUGCUAAAAAUUUCCUGACAACAUAAUAGGAAACUUGUGUUUUAUGAUGAACCAACGAGUUGAUGAAAAAGAGCAGGUUCACUAUUUGGCAAGCUCGUGAAGGAAUAUUGGUCUCUUUAUCACUCUGCAGAAUUACAACGAAAUUGACAGCAGAGACAGUGUGUGAUCCUUUCACAUGGCUUUCUAGUCAAUACUACUCCUCAAACACAGCAACAAAAAUUUCCUUACAACUUCGUAAAAUACAAUAAAACUACCAUUUGUGGGUCAAUUUCACGAGUAUGCCUAAAAUACUACCAGAAAGUUAGUGCGAUAAUAGAUAUGAUAAGCUAUUUAUCAAAAACCAAUAUGUCCUAUUUUUUUCCCCCAAAAUUUUAGAAAGGGAUUGCUCCAGAAUUGUACGCUUCACUUUGAAGUGGUCGUUUAUCACGAUAAAGUUUGUGGAGGAAGUACUCCAAUUGAUUUCAUUUUCCUUCGUGUUCACACAAUUCAGAUGCAGAUAUUAUCUGGGCUGUCUAAGGGAAGUAGAAACUACAUGUUUUGUCCAAAAGAAUUCAAAUUAGAAAAGGAAAAAAAAAGAGAAGACCAUGAUUCUGGCAUUCCUAUUUUUAACCUUCAAGUACUCCACUCUUAAUUUUAGCUAAUCAAAAUGACUUGCACACUUCCAAGAUGGGAAGCACUUGGUUUGGCCUGGAAGAUCAAGAUCCUGCAAGAUGGACACGCUUUCAGGGCUUGCAUCCGGAGACUAAACUUGGCCAAGAACUAUAGUAUAAGCUCAGAAUUUCUUGUCAUAUGACUAAUCCUGUAUGGAAGUUUUAAACCCCCCAAAAAAAAAAAAAAAAAACUGUUUGGAAAUUUCUAAUGCUUCUAAGGCACUAAGGCUUGAAGAAAAACACAUAUUCUUGCCUAACUACAUGUUCAUAUUACCACGAAAUUUUUAACAUCCUCAUAUAUUAUUAGCAAAUCUGGUGCAACCCUAGGGAACCAAAACCUGCAUGAAAGAGAUACACAGGACUAGUUGCCUAGUUUGAGGAUUUCAAUCUAACAUGACCUCUAUUUCAAAGAGAAAAUUCUUUAUUGCGCAGUUCUUUAAGAUAAAUAUAUGCAUUCUUAAGUGUUCAUCAUAAAAGCAUUUCUGUUUUCCUUUAGAAACAAAUUUUAACAAGGUGUUUCAUUUGCAUUAGUAUAUACCACAAGGACAUUUUACAGCAAGUAUCUUGAAACUAUUUUACCAAAAGAAAAAAAUAAUAAAAAAAACCGUGAAACUGAAAUGAGGAAUCUGGAAAGUACUUUAAGGUCAGUAUGUUUUUCCUUUUGUAAAUUAGGACAGUAAAUUAACUUUUGUACCUAAAAUCAGUACUAAAAUCAGGACAGUAAAUUAACUUUUGUACCCAUUCUAAACGCACACCGCUUUCUUUUUCCUGGAAAAUGCAUAAUAAAAAUAUGCAUUCCUUUUAACGUGUAUGAGUCUCUACAUAGGUAUGUGCUGGUAAAUUAAAUGCCCAGCAAGGCUUCAACAAUUGAAAAUCAGGGAAGAUUAAUCUCUUGGACAGUACAAAGCUGUGCUGAUCAUGUUUUGCAAUGCAUUGCUAUCUGCGUAGUUGCAUUCUUUAGAAAACUAUUUAACUCUUCUUCUUUUUCUUACUUCAACUAAAGGAAAAGCACGUAGAUAAUAUGUGAGAGGCAGUGAAGGAAGAUCUCCCCUAGCAAAUUUGUCGCGAAUCAUAGACAGUGAAGGAAAACCAGUUCUUCCAAAGGAAGCGUUAUGCGAUUGAGGAUCUUCCCUGCCAAGAGUCGUAUCGAUCUCUUCCGUGAAGGAAUGAAGCAUUCCUAAAGUCUCCAACAAAACCAAUCGCUUCCCAUUUUUCCCAUCAAAAAAUUUCUUGGCCUUCUUCUCGAUACAAUUUUCCGUUACAAGCUUAGCUGAAGCAUAUACAUUUGAUUUAAAUUCCCGCAUCUCUAAUCUAAGACCAUAUUUAUCUGCACAUUCCAGCUCCUCAAGAGCUUUGUCAGCAACAUCCAUGAUGCCUCUCACAAAUUGGCAACAACGCCAAUCAUUGGAACGCCCGCACAGCUCUGCAAAGCUCAGCAAGAACUUUAGAUGUUGGCUGAGAAAAGCUGACUCAGUACCCACUUCACGGAAAAAGUUCAUGGCGUCUUUGAGUUCUCGACAAGACUGAAGCAGAUCCCUCACCGCCUCACGACAAGGUAGUAAGGCUGAAUUGUGGCGUAAAUCUUCCCAGGAGUUGUAGAAGUCAGAUUCAUCAAGAAAUUUCUCCAGCUUAUUCUCAUUUAAACCAAUCUGUUCUACUAAUUCUGGCGCUUCUCUUGAUAGCAUUCGUUCCCAGCCGUGACGAAUAUUCUUCCUAUACUCAUCAUAUAACGGUGAAGUAAUUAGUAGCUUAGUUCUCCGAGAAAAAUCUCCUAUCUCCUACAGGCAGUGCAAGAGGUGCAAUAUCUUCUACUAGUUGGUCCGGCAAAGUUGGGGGUCCUUCCAUUUCCAAUACUCUGAUGACCUCACCAACUUUUUCAGUAAAUAACUUGGCUUGCAAUAUCUUGAUAUACAGUAUUUUGAGUAGGAUAGUAGUUAACUCGUCCACCUCCUCCAGCAGACAAACAACUUCAUCAUUAACCAUCUUUCCCUCUGUCAAUCCUACCCGAUGUAAUCAAUGGUAAAUUAACAAAGAAAUCACCUUGAUGUUUAGAUUUAAACCUUUAAGGCUUUAACCGGACUGCAAUAAGUAAAUAUAAAAGGAAAAAAGAAAAAGAACAUACUAAUAUCCAGGACAAAGCAAAAAAGCUGGGGACUGACAACUAUCCAUGCGAGAAAGAAGCUACAGCUUACCAACAGCAGAGGAGAAAAGGCCUUUGAUGAUCGGAAUCACGAUUGCUAGAAGAAAGCCGGCGAUGAUAACUUGUGGUUAACGAAGCAGAAGCAGCCAAGUCGCCCCAAGUGCCAAAAGUCUUGUCUUUGAUUUCUUCUCAUUUUUCUUGAAAAAAGUUGAAAAAGGCUGAAUAUUUAGGAGUCCUAGAACAGUUCGACCUGCCCUGCUAAGGGAGUUAUUUUCUUUUUUGUUGUAACUAUAGCAUUUGUAUAACUUAUUUUAACUUAUUUUAAAGAAAGAGAGAGUUUAACCGACGGAGAAUUCAGUCAGAGGAAGUCACUUGAAAGUGACAACCACAAUUAAGUGAUAAAGUGAGAGGUCCAAGACUUUAAAGUACUAGUGAUGACCAACAGCCUAAGUGGCUGUUGGCCUGCUAAGGGAUUCAACAAUUUGGCAAGAGCUAUUACUAAAUCCAAGUAGUUUGAAUUAGUUACUGUAAAUAGCAUUUGUAUCGAUUUUUGUGUGAAAUAUAGUUCAAGUUUAUCUCUAUCUCUGUCUUUAUUAUUAUUAUUUUUUGAUAAAAAAGUUCAAGUGGCUCUCAAAAUUUUAGCCUCAUAAAGUGUUAGCCGUUCAACAAUUAUAAAAAAAAAAAAAUUGGCUCUCGAUGUAUCAAAAGUGCAAAUUGUUAGCCUUUUGUGAAUUCCAACUGUUUAUGAGUGGCGGAAUUGAGGGCAUUCUUGUCCAUGUAGGAAUAUAAAAAUCCAAAAGUUUUUCUUGAAUUGAAUUGUUAUCCAAAUAGAGUAUCAUGAGCUUAAAAGUAUGCGAAACUGUGAAAGUAUGACCUUUUUUCUCUGUUUUUUGUUCCCUCUUUUUUUAUCUUUAGCUAGUACACAAUUCAUGCAAGAGAAAUUGAUCUUCGUAAGGAUGCACUGUGCAACUUUUGUUUCUAAGCGCUUGAAUUUUGUGGGAUACUUUGACUGACCGUCAAAUGCUGGAGCUCUUAUUUUACCAAUUCUAGUUAGUGACUGAAUCCAAAACAAAAUUAUAGAAGGAACAUACAAAUGAUCAGGUGCAUAUUCACCUUCGAAAUCCCUUGUAUAAUGCUUCCAAAGUGCAUAUUCAUAUAAUCAGGUGCUUCAGAAAGCAACGAAGAUUUCUACAGAAAUCUCGAGCCGACAAUUGCUUAAUUUGGAGAGUGAUACAUGGGAAACACAGCAGAUGCUACAGCGUUUGCAAAAGAGAAGCAAUGGCAUAAGCCACCGGGACUGACUGUCUUAUCUCUCGACACACAAACACAGGUCUUUUUUUUUUUUUUCGGUAACGAUAAUAUUUGUAUAAUUUAAUCUCUCGACACACACAGGUAUUACAAACUGAAAAUGUAGAGCUUGUUAUUUCUUUCCAUGUUUAUUUUCCUGAAUGAGCAUAAAAUUGGGUACCAUAAUAUUGGUCAUCAAGAACAGACUAGGAUAGAUUAGAUGCUCCCAAGUCACAAGAAUUGGUUUUGAUAGCCAGCUAGUUCAGCAAGCUUCUUUUUAUGUCUUUGCUUUCCUCUGGGCUACUGAAUUGUGCUACUGACCAUCUGGUUAACUUGCAUGAACACAUUAUAAAUCAUAUUUUAAUUUCAUAUAUAUCAAAUUGUUGUAGCAUUUUUUUUUUUACAAAAACUUUUCAAAAUAAUUGUCCAAAUGGGCUCUUACCUAUUUAAGACAUCGAUGUUUUCUCUGGUUUUAGAAUUAGGUAACCUUCGCCUCUUCCCGAACUUUUCGCUGCCAAAAAAAAAAUCUAAUUAAAAAAUCGUCUAAUGUGGAUGCGGGCCACUGGUGAGUGGCAUAAGACCGACGGCGUGGUGCCAUUCACGAUCCGAAUUAGCUCCGCUCAAUAUGGGACAUUUGACUUCAAAAUUUUGAAAUCAACUAUUGAACAUCAAAUUGAGCUCAUCCGGUCCAAUCAUUGUAAAUUGGAUGAUUGUUUUGGUUCAACCGCACCAGCACUUAACCAUUUUAUGUGUAUAUAUUAUAACCAAAUACCCACCAACUGCACCUCACAUCACCCUGUUUUAUGUCUAUCAGCUUUCUUUUUUUAAUGGAACGAAAAUAAUUUGGGAAUAAGUAUUUAUUUUUUUUACGAGUUUCAAUUGGGUACUCAUUAAAACAUCUAAAUUACACUGAAAUUAUCAUGUGAAAAUAUAGAUUAACAUUUAUUACACCUCCUAAAUUGUAACAUUUUUUUAGAAUUAGUUAUACUUUUUUUUUUAAAAGAAAACUAAUAUCUAGUACCUCUUUUAACGAGUGCCCAAUAGACACUCGUCAGUCAAACCGUAGAAUUAGAUACCCAAAUCUUUUAACCCAAAAAAAAAAGUCCAACUCAGUCGGGGGGCCAAACAAGCUAUGUGUCAUUCAUGUCUGGGGGAUUAUAUUCUCAGAAGUGAUUUUUAUUGUGAAAAAACAAGAUAUAGCCAGAGUAGUGGACUGUAUUAAAUUGGGACAUCGUAAUUCGUAAUCUUUAUCACAGCAAUAUCUUACUUGAAAUACGGGAAUUAAUGAAAGUAGGUGCACUGGACAUUAUUUAAUGUAUUUAAUAAAUUCAUAGAGGCCCCUUUGAUUCUUGACUCAUGGAUGCAAAGAAACAAGUCCCCUAAGAGUUAGGAUAAAGUUUGGUACUAAAAAAAGCUUCGAUAAAGUAUUGACUGGCUUUACAAUACAAUUGCGCUACAUCAGAAAAUGGAACAUAAAUAUAGAAUAGGCAUUUAAAAUUUGUGUUAUGUUAAAUAUUGGAGUAUAUCCCACUUUUGCUGCUAAUAGACGUGUCCCUGUUUGGAGAUUUGUCAAGCAAUAAAGGUUGUCAAGAUUUUUUUUUUUUGGGGGUGGUCCUAGUUGGGUCACCGUCUGAGAUUUUCUUGGCCAGAAGAAAUCAAAUAUUGAUACCAUUAAGCCCAGAAGAUAUUCUUUUCAAUUAAAAAGAUGCAACUUUGGUUGGUUUUCAAUGCAUUUUUUCAUAAAUCUGCAAGCUAACUGAGUGUCCUGGGCAAAAAUUAAUUGGUCGCCAAGUUUUAGCAUUCUUAAGACUUUAAUGUUUUCUGUGAUUUUGGAACCAGGUAACCAUACCAUCUUUCUGAACUUUUCUUUACCAAAAACAAAAAAAAAAAAUUUAUAGCAGGACAAAAUUAAUAGGAGUUCGUGUUAUUUGAAAAAAUCUAGUUUUAUGUGGAUCCGAGGGACCGGUGGGUGAAAGAUCAAUAUCUUGAAAUCAAUAUUGACUUCAAUGUCUUGAAAUCAAACAUGUAACAUCAAAUUCCCUCCUAUGGAGAGGUUAUUUAGGGGCAGUUUCUUCUCUCUUAAAGAUUAGAGUUUCUUCUCUUCUAAAAAUUUUUAGUGAGAGAUUUUGUGGUUAGUCUACCUCUUAUAUUAGAUAUAAAUUUUUUGAAAUUUGGUUGUCAGAUCUAAGAUUUCUUAGAUCUACCAUGUCAAAUCUCACUUUAAUAUAUGAAUUUAAAUCAAUUCAUUAUCAGAUUUAGAAGGAAGCAUGCGGUAUAGUUGGAAGCAUACACGAAUGAUCUUAAGAUUAAAAAUAUUUUAUCUUUUAAUUUUUUUAGAAUUUCAAUGUUAUACGUUAUUGAUUUUCUAGAUCUGUAUAAUUGAUAUAAUUUCUGUCACUAACGCAGAUUUAAUAAAAUGAUGCUGUUUUUUUAUUAAAAAUAAAUGUAUCAUCAAGUUGAGCUCAAGAGGUUAAAUAUAUUUUUAGUGAGUAAAUUGGAGUGCAAGAGGUUAAAUAACAAGCGCGAGUAUCAAUUUUCAAAACCAGUGUAUUUUCCUAUCAUUCUGCUAAUAUACUUGUCCCUAUCUAAACCUAGAGAUAUGUCCUCCAAGUCCUACUUGGGUCACAGUAUGAGAUUUUGUCGGUUCGCAUAAAUCGAUGUUGAUAGUUUGAUAACAUUACGUCGAAAAGAUUAGGUGUGCUUGGCUCUAUUCACUACUCACAGCAUGCCGUGAUCCAUGGUUGUAUCGAAGCCAAACUCAUCUAAAUUUUUUGUUACAAAAAAAUCAUUAAUUACAAAAAGAUUUUUUUAAAAAAAAUAAAAGGAUGCAAUCUUUGGUUGGUUUUCAAUGGAUUUACGUAAAUCUGCAGGCUAAUUGAGGUCCCUACCAAAUAAAUGGAAAGAAAAUAGUCCGUACCAUGUUAUGUUAAUUUCCAUGGCUUGGAGGGGUAGUUUUGACACCCACUCUACACAUGAUUCAUGGCUUAAUUAAUUUGAGUUUACAGAUAUCCAUUCAAAUCAAUUUGAUAUGACAGGAGACAAAUAAUGUAUCACUUGAUUUUUUUUUAUGUGUAUAUAUCAUAUCUUGAUUUUUUUUAUGUGUAUAUACCAUAUCACGAUGCUAUUGCAAAUUUUUGUUUAAAAAUUACUUGCAUAUACAAAUUCAUCCGUGACGUGCAUUUGGAUUAGUCUAUGAGGAUAUGGAUCCAAUUAGACCGUCAGUUUCCUUUUCUUUUUUUUUUUUUGUCAAAUCAAUUUAGUAGCGUCUUAAUCCCUAGGGUUCUUAGUGAUAAAUCAAAUUGACAAAUUAGUAAUGUAACACAUCACUAAAGUUGUGCUAGUUGUAACCAAAGCAUUUAAUAUUCUCAGACUGGCAACAUCAACUGGUUAAACUUUUAAUUCAAGUCCAAAAGAUUAGGUGGGCUUGGCUCUGAUCACUAUUCACGGCAUGUUGUAAUUAGGGAUGGCAACGGGGCGGGGUUGGGGCGGGAGACCCCUCCCCCAUCCCCCGCCCCACUACCUAUAAACUCCCCCCACCCCCGCCCCAUCCCUCGCCCCCCACUCCCCCCCGCCCCGCCCCGCUUCCACCCGCAGGGCUAAUAAAAAUUUGUUAUAUAAUUUUAUUAUGGUUAAGUUUUAGCAAAUAAUCAAGUACUAAAAUAUUAACACAUCAUCAAAUUAUUAUUCAUUAUAAUUUUACAAUUGAAACUUAUAAAAACAAUCAAACAAAAAAUAUUUGAAUACAAUCCAACAUGAUGAAAUAAAUAUAACUAAAGUAGUCAAAUUUUCACUUUUGGCACAAAUACAAUCACUAAUUCAUUAUUGUGCUUGUGCUUUUUUAAAAAAAAAAUAUUAUUGUAUUAAGUGUAAUUAGGGAUUUAGUAUAACCAAUUAAUAAUUUGUAUUAGUACACAUAUAUAAUUAUUAGUAUAAUUAAUAAUAUCAAUUAUGUUAUAUAUACUAAUAGACAUUAUAUAAGACAUAUAACUAAUAAUAUCAUUAUCAUAAGUUUGUAACUAAUUAAAUUAUAUAUUAUAUAUAUAAUUAUAUAUAUUUAUUUUUUUAAAGCAGGUGGCGGGACGGGGGAUGGAGCGGGGGUACACUCCCCCGCCCCCCGCCCCGUUUCUAAGCGGGCGCCCCCGCCCCAACCCCUCCCUAUUAACCCCCCGCGGUCACCCGCCCCCAUUGUCAUCCCUAAUCGUAAUUCAUGAUCCGUGGUUGCAAUCAAAGUCAAACUCAUCUAAAUUUUGUAUUAUAAAAAAAAUUAUUAAUUACAAAAGAUUUUUUUUAAAAAAAAUAAAAGGAUGCAUUCUUUGGUUGGUUUUCAAUGGAUUUUACAUAAAUCUGCAGGCUAAUUGAGGUCCCUACCAAAUAAAUGGAAAGAAAAUAGUCCAUACCAUGUUAUGUUAAUUUCCAUUGCUUGGAGGGGUAGUUUUGACACCCACUCUACACAUGAUUCAUGGCUUAAUUAAUUUGAGUUUACAGAUAUCCAUUCAAAUCAAUUUGAUAUGACAGGAGACAAAUAAUGUAUCACUUGAUUUUUUUUUAUGUGUAUAUAUCAUAUCUUGAUUUUUUUUAUGUGUAUAUACCAUAUCACGAUGCUAUUGCAAAUUUUUGUUUAAAAAUUACUUGCAUAUACAAAUUCAUCCGUGACGUGCAUUUGGAUUAGUCUAUGAGGAUAUGGAUCCAAUUAGACCGUCAGUUUCCUUUUCUUUUUUUUUUUUUGUCAAAUCAAUUUAGUAGCGUCUUAAUCCCUAGGGUUCUUAGUGAUAAAUCAAAUUGACAAAUUAGUAAUGUAACACAUCACUAAAGUUGUGCUAGUUGUAACCAAAGCAUUUAAUAUUCUCAGACUGGCAACAUCAACUGGUUAAACUUUUAAUUCAAGUUUUCGCUAGGAGACAAAUUUUGCUUUUCUUCUACAAUUCUAAUAGAAAUUAAAUUUAAUUUAUCCACUAUAGAUAAUCAUACAAACUGAGCUAACAAUAAAAAAGGAAAAUACUGCAGAAUGUACCAUCUAAAACCACAGAGAUAAAGAGAUUCCGCAGCUCAGUCACAUCAUUGCACUUUUACUAUGUUAUUGUAUAAUUUUAAGAAUUAGUGUUUUAUACACCGUCAGUGUAAAGUUUUUUUACAUUAAUAGGUAUAGAUAUGUGAAACAUAGACAAAAAGUGAAUUUAAAAUUUGAAUAGUGAUGAUGUGGCAUUCUUCUAAACCUGCUUGUGUAAAAAAAAAAAAAAAAUUUUUACACUAAUUGUGUAUAAAAAUUAAUCCCAAAUUUUAAUCAUGGUGCUUAUAACAUAAAUUAGAUUAGAAAAGAACUUGCUAUUUCUCUAUCAUGUGCUUUAUGCUGGACUAGUCUCUUGAGCACAAUCAUUAUGCUAAAAAUUUCUUGACAAUAUAAUAGGGAAACUUGUGGAGUUUGAUGAACCAACGGAGUUGAUGAAAAAGGGAAGGUUCACUAUUUGGCAAGCUCGUGAAGAAAUAUUGGUCUCUUUGUCACACUGCAGAAUUACAACGAAAUUAACAGCAGAGACAGUGUGUGAUCCUUUUACAUUGCUUUCUAGUAAAUAUAACUCCUCAAACACAGCAAUAAAAAUUUCCUUACAACUUCGUAAAAUGUAAUAAAACUACCAUUUGUGGGUCAAUUUCACGAGUAUGCCUAAAAUAAUACCAUAAAAUUAGUUAGUGCGAUAAUAGACAUGAUGUGCUAUUCAUCGUAUUAAUUGCCUUUUCUUUUCUUUUUUGGUACAGGAUAAAAGGACAAAUUGUGAAUGACUAUCUUGUAGCUAUCUACAUGUUCUGAAUGAAGGAUAAUAAUAUCUUCUUUUGUGUGAAAAGAAAAAAAUGAUAAAUCUUAAGGAUGCAUAUGCUAAGUUCUAUGAUUCCCCUAAUGCCAAAUAUUUGACAGAAACUAAGCCAACUAGUAAUUAAAAUAAGUUGAUCUUGAAGGUAAAAUGGAGGUAUCAAAAAUAUUAGUUUCCUAGAAGUUCUAUGAAAAUUUCCCUGUUUAAGGUAAAAAAAAAAAAAAAGAACCACGUUUAUUCAUCUACAUAGCCUCAUCAUAACUUCAAUAUAGAAAUCAUUUGCCAUGUGUCAUCAAUUCAUGAUAGCAUGUGUUGUAUCAGUUACAGGACUUUUGUGCAAACUUUAGCUUCCUAUAAGACAUUUAUGAUUCAAUGAUUUUGGUGCACUCCCAAUAAAGAUGUUCAAAGUAAUUUGAUUCAGCUUCGUCUUGAUUAGAUCGAGGAACUCAAGCCAAUAUGCGCCAACUCCCGAGUUGGACUUUCUGGUCACUUCAAUGUUGUCCUAAUCCAAAUCUUUACACUAGGAAAAAGAGUUCAACCAAAAAAAGAUUGCAGUAUUAAACUGGCCUCUGAGAGAGGAAUCGAGACAUAAAGUUUUCAAUACGUAGAAAUUCAUUAAACAACUGAUAAUAUUUACAUCGAUCGAUUAUUGGACCACACCAUUAACAUAUGAUAUUAUCAUAACUCAUAGGAGCAAGCACACAAUAUAUUUCAGGUUUGCACAUGGUACAACCUUCGUCGAGCUUACAUUUAUUCAAUACACUAACUGGAGAUCUUGGAACUUCCAAACACACAUGUUCGUGCCAUCUAUGAUGACAAUUUAGCACCCCUUCAUUUGAGAUGGUGAGUCUCAAUAUCCUUAGUGACAUGAAGGCAAAAGUCCAUCAGAGUAUUUGGAUCUGGGAUAUUGGGAUUCUUUUUCUCAUACUCCAAGGUCCAUGUAACCAAGUUGCUUUUGCCAUGGGUAUCAACAUGAACUGUUAUGAUGAAGGUCUUGUAUAACUCCAGCAGAUCUCCUUCAAUCACCUUGAAUGUGAUUGACCUCUUUGCCUCAUCUAUGGCCUGGAUAACCUCUUUGGCCACUUUCUUUUUUCCAUCUAAAAAAAUUGAAGAAUUGAAUGAGAAGAGUGUGAAGCUCUAAAGAUAAAAAAACAAAAUUCAGUAAUUAUUAAGGCCAAGAAAAAUAAAUUUUCCUAGUGGCCGGCCUCACAACCAAAGAUUGUUAACAGUUGACCUUUACUUGAGCCUUUCAAUUUUAUCUUUCAAUUUUUUCUAGCAGGUGAUGAUGAAAUUUAAGAAAUGACGAGGGAAGAAGGACUUGAACCAGGCACCAAGAUCAUUUGUGAGUUGAAAACUUUGCUCAAAUAGAUCUAAGCAUUAUACAUGCAUGCAGAAUCAUAAACAAGAAAAGAUGGAAAUAUUUGAAAGGGACAACGAAAAGAAGGGAAAUCAGGAGGAAAUUCAGAUACCGUGAGUAUAAUUCCAGAAGAUGACAGAUCCGACGGUUCCCCAAUUACCAUCAUGCAGCUCACAACCUUGAAUAUGAGUAGGGCUCAUGGUAGAUACAUGGUGUGGUCUGUGCCUAAAAAUUUCAUGAAACACAUCUCCAUCGGAUUUUAUCUCGAUUUGGUUAACGAGCUUACCAGUAAGACUCAUUUCUUCUAGCUUUUUUUAGCCAAGAAAAUAUGACUACUGAAGGAAGAGGGGUGAGGGAAAGCUAAAGACUGAAGGGCUUUUUAUAGUCGAGUUGUCUGCAUUAUUUAAACGCCAAAACGUCAUAGUGUACUAAGGGCCAGCUGUGUUUGUCUCGUUUGAGUUAAAGCUUGAAUUGGCUUAAGGAGCCAUUUGGUUUGAAUUUCACAGUUACUGUCAUUAUCUGUAUCAUAGGGUGAUCAAUGAUAAUAGAUUUUGAUGAAAACCCAUAGUAUAUUUAUAAAAUGGAUUUUAUAAUUUAUAAUUUAUAUUAUUUCUUUUUUUUUUAUCCAUUUGUUGGAACCAGUAGAAACGAUGGCAUUUUUUUCUUAUUUUUACAUUUAAAGAGAAAAAGAUAAAUAAUUAAAAUGGCAUUUUGUUUUCCAAUUUUUAUAUUUAAGGAGAAUAAGAUGGGUAAUGAAGAUGAUUUCCUAGUGAAGGCGAUUAAUCACAAAACCCAAAGAAGAGGCCUAUCAUUCCCAUUAGCCUCAAACAAACAUCAUAUAUGGGUAUAAUUGAAUUUGAAACUCGUGUUGAAACCCAAUUACCAAAAAUCCCCUAAUUUUUUAAUGGAUUGGGUUGUGCGCCUUAUGUAAAGACCAAAAAGCCUCAACUAGGGUAUUCACGGUAAAUGUUUUGUUGCAAAAAUUUCAAUAAUGAAAAAUGUAACUGACAAAAUGUUUUUCGUGCAUUACAUUUAUCUACUUCUCAUAACAUAUUGCAUAGACAUCAUUAGGAGUGCAAACGAGUCGAACCGAAUCAAGUUUCGGCCUAAUCGAGCCAAGGCUCAACAUAAUUUUACGAAACUCAAACUCGAGUUCGAACUCGAGCUCGAACUUAAAAAAUAAAAAAUAAUUUUAUUUUUAAAAAAUGAAUAAAAUAAUAAAUUUUAAUAAAUAAUAAAAUAUUAGGGAUAUUUAUAUGUAAUUUUACUAUUAAAAUAAAAAAUACAUAUAAUCGAGCUCGAGCCUACUCGCGAAUUAAUGAGUUACCAUUCAAUGGGGGUAUUUUUGGAGUUAACCCCAUUAAUGAGUUAACUCCAAAAAUACUCAACAAAUAAUGGUAAUACUUGGGCAAUGAUUAGGAUCCCGUUGGGACCCAUAAAGUGGAAAUACAUUUUUUUUUUUUGGUAUCAUCAAUGUUGUUAGAUCCGGACCGGAUCUGUCGGUUCGAUUGGUCCGACUGUGAAUUGGUCUUUUUUUCAAAUUGGUUUGUAGUAUAAAACUGAUUUGAUAAAAAACCUAUUGAAAUCGCAAAAAAUCAACUAAACCAAUGACCCAAUUCGACUGGUUGAUCCAGUUCUUAAACUUUUCUUUUUUCUUUUCCCUAAACAUAAUUUGAGUUACUUAAAUUGUAAUAUUUUCAUUUAUUAAUAGGAAUAAAAAAAGUUACCCAUUUAGUGUAAAUAUCAAAAUCACUCACUUUCUUAAAUAAUUUUUAAAUCAAGAUAUUUUCAUUCCUAUGAUCUCAUUAAUUUAGCAUCGUGAUUCCAACUUGUAUUAAUUUGUUUUAAUUUGAUUUUUCAAGUAGUUUUGGAGAAUGGGCAUAUUUUAACCAUGAAUUUACAUUUUUAUAUAUAAUUAUUAGGUGUAUAUUUGAUUGCAUGUGUAAUAUUUUUGGAACAUUUUUCAUGAUUGGCCAAAUAUAACCAAGAACUUAAUUUCAAUAUUUUUGAAACUUAUAAAAAUAUAUAAUAAUUAUAACAUCAUGCUGAUAUCAGCAGAUCUUUGAGAACGGUUCAAUUGAUCUAACCAGUUGACCCCUGACCAAAUAGUUUAGCUGAGUCGCUAUCGGGUCCGAGUUUAACAAAAUUGGUUAUCAUUUGGUGGUGCAUGAUUUACCAAUCCAUCAACCAAUAUUACGAGCACUACAACUAAAGUACUCUUAUUUUCUUGGCAUGCAUUGCAAUUGCACUUUUAUUUUUUUUGUUUUGUUUUUGGGAUAUAAAUUAUCCUUAAAAGUUGUACUUUAUUCUAGUUGGAGUAAAAUAUCAUCAGCGCUAAAAAAAAAGCUUUUUGUUCUCUUUUUCUUUUUUUUUUCCCUCUUCCCCACGAAAGCAAGUAAAUUUAUAUUUGAGAGAGAGGCAACAAAAUUAGACAGGUUAAAUAAAUCCUUAGUUUUCUUUUUUCUAUUUAGAAUGCUACUGAAGCACACAAGUGAAAAUCUCCCUGUAUUAUUCCAUUUCUUAUUUUUAUUCAACUUAGAUCUAGGGCAAUGAAAUCAGAGAUAUGAAAAGAUACAUAUAAAAAACCAACAAAGGAAAAUAGAGGGAAAGACAAACCUUGCAUUAUGAAAAAAGUAAACAAAUAAUAAUAUAAGAACAAUAAGAAAAGGAAUAACAAAAUAGAAGGCUUAUUGGACUUUUCAUAGAUGUAUUGGGUUAAUAUUAAUAAUUUUUUUUCUACAAUAGAUGAUUUGACAUUUGAGCUACUAGUCUUACCCAGAUAAGUUCCAAAGUAGGUUAAUUUUGUAUAUUAAGUAAUUUUACUUAAUUAACUCCAUGUGUAUAAUUUGGAACCAAUGUAACCGUAACUGUCUGAAUAACAAAAUAAUCACAUUAAUGUUUAUAGUACAGUGCAAUCUUAACACAUGAUCGGCAUUCUCCAUUAUUUUCACGAGUCGUGCCAACAGCACUAGGCACUCCAUCUUUUACUAUCCCUGCAUUUUCGUGAAUUUUGUCCAUGAAUAAGAAGAAAGCAUGGUGUUGGAAAUUAAGAGUUAAAUGUCAAUAUAUAGCUAAAACCUCCAGGAUGAGGACUUUAUGUAAGUAAUGAAAUCGGUUUUAUGCAUGUAAAAAUACCAUAACAACACUUAGGCAUAAAUUAUAAAGCCCUCGUUUUAUUUAUGUUGCACAAAGAUUCUUAUAACAGCUGAUAGAUUGGUUACAGAAUUACUAACAUAUCAAAACAGUACAACAAGCAAACACACAAUUACUUAAGUCUUCCACAUUGGACAUAUACCACAACCUUUUUCAUCAAGUUCACAUCCUUCACAACAUAUGCUUACAAAUAUAGCAACUUGUAAUCAAAUUUAUGCUUCAUAUGAUCAUGAUUCGGAAAUCAAAGGCCCUUCAUUUGAGAUGGUGAGUCUCAAUAUCCUUUGUGAGUUUGGUGGCAAGGUCUACUAUAGUUGUUGGAUCAGGGACGCUCUGAUUCAAUUUCUCGUACUGGAGGGUCCAUGUAACCAAGUUGUUUUGGCCAUGAUUUUCAACCUGAACAAUAAAGGUGAAGCUCUUGUACAACUUCAACAGGUCUCCUUUAAUCACCUUAAAUGUGACUGACUUCUUUUCCUUAUCUAUAGACUCAAUUAUCUCCUUCGCCACCUUCUUUUGUCCAUCUGAAAAGACGUGAAUAGUGGAAUUAAUUAACCGAUACGUUAUGUAUUGGAUUUCGAAGCCGAAAGGCAUAAUUUUAAACGGCCAAAGUCUCGCCAGCGCAACUUUAAGCAACGUAGACUUGUUGAGUAUUUAAGAAUACAUAAGCAACUUAUAGAGCAAAAAAAAAAAGUAUUAAAAUUGUAAUAAGUAAAACGAUGGAAAGAAUCAGAAACUUACCGUGAGUAUAUGUCCAGAAGAUGAUAGAUCCUACUGUUCCCCAAUCACCAUGAUGCAGCUCACAACCAUGAACGAUAUCAGGGCUUAUGGAGGACAUUUCAUGUGGUUUGUUUUUGAAGAGCUCAUGAAACACAUCUCCACUGGACUUAAUUUCGAUUUGGAAAACCUGUUUACCAGUUAGACUCAUUUCUUCAGAGAUCUAUUAACCAAGAAACGAAGACUGAUGAAAGCAAGGGGUUAAAAAUGGUUUAGGCAUGAAUAAUUGAACAUGAAUUUAUAUCAAUGAGAAAAAUGCUGUUUUCUUUUCUUUUGUUUGCAUAUCGCUUUCGCACUAUCUUACUUCAUAGAUCAUGCAGUAGUGCAAUGUACUAUCAUUUAUUAAAUAUUCUGACUAUUUUAGAAUAUAAAAUUUAUAAGGAUAUUGUUAUAGAAUUAGUCUGGGCGUUAUUUGAUUCCAUACAAGAAGUUUUGCAAUCCGUACUGUUGGUGAUGUAUAUUUUUCCCUUUAAUCCAAGUAAAACAUACAAAGGAUGCUUCUUCUUGCUUGGGAGAACAAAAAGUUCUAAAGAGGGAAAAAAAAAGAGAGCAAAAGCCCUUUUGCCAUCCCCAGUUCGGAAGUCUUAGAGCUGCCUAUGGAGCAUGGAAAAUACUUAGAUUAGCAGUGCAGCCAUCAAAGAUCCAUAUCACCAAUUGUGACUACUUACAUGGCAACAUGGUUUGUAAAUAAGCUCAUAAAUCGUGGAUCAUUCAAGAAUUUUCCAUAAAGUAUAGAGGCUUUGCAUAGGCGAGCAGUAAAUCCUAGCCUAUUAAAUUUGGACAGGAUAUACUGUUCAUAUGUUUAAUUGUAGCAAAUAUAUCUUUCAUAAGUACUUCAUUUAGGUAAUGUGUAUAUGGUAUGGCCUAUGGGUACUAAAAUUGCCAUUUGUAUACUUUCAUGAAUUAUUUUCAACUUUGGUGACGCUCAUUCAAUUUGUAAACGAUUUUUAUGAUCAAACAAGGUAACUUUUGUUUCGAAGAAAUAGAUCUGCAAUCUUACUAUAAUUCUUUGGUCAUACUUAAAUUGUUAAUCUAGCAUAGGGACUUUUUAAUGUAUAAUACAGGCUUCAAGAAAUUAUGAACAAUAAAAUACAAGUGAUCGAAACAAAUAAAGCACUUACAAAAAAAAUAAGUUAGGGCAAAAUACACUUUACCCCCUUAUGGUUUAUCGAUUUUUUAUAUAACCUCCAUAUGGUUUCAAAAGCUAUACAUAACUCCCUCAUAAUUUGGAUUAAAAUAUCAAGAUGACGGAAUUUGCAUACCACAAUGGAGCCAACUAAAAUGUCAAAAGUAUUCCUAUGUAAGGUUAAAAAUUAUUUAUUAACUAUGAGGGGAUUAUGUAUAUAUUUUGAAAAUUAUAAGGGAGUCAUAUGGUAAAACAUAAAACCAUACAAUGUUAGAGUGCCAUGCAUAUUAUGUUUACAUAUUUUAGUCACUUCAACCAUUUUAGUUUUAUGGGUUCCGUUACAAAUGAUCAUUUUCGUUACAUUGAUACUUUAAUCCAAACUAUAAGGGAGUUAUAUAUAACUUUUGAAACUAUAAAGAGGUUAUGUGAAAAUUUACUAAACCACAAGGGGGUAAAGUGUAUUUUGUCCAAUAAAUUAAGUAAAAGUUAAAUACGUAAAAUACUUAGAAGCCAAGAAGGCUUUUUGUCUAACGAUUAAGAUUGAAACUCUAGAAAUUAGAAAUCUUGAAUUAAGAUCUCUCAUCUCUCCCUCACGUCUUAAUUCUCACCCCUCCUUAGAUAAAAAAAAAUUUUAAAUAUAAAAUAUCAUUCCGUGGAAGUAAUUUGUUUGGAGCUCAUUCUUCCCAUGAUAGAGUUGAGCUUGUGAAUCAGAGAUGCAUUACUUCUUUACUCUCCCCAACACCUUAUUGUUUAUCUAUAACAGUCAUGAGUCUUUAUCUAGAGACAACAGGAAGAAAGACAAGUUAGAAGAUUUGCCAAAAAUGAAUAUUAAACCUUGUAAUAUUCAGCAAAGGGUGCAAAAUAUUCAGAGAUGCAUGAUUGACAAUUACAUAACUUGUAAAUGCAGAAUUCCAUUAAUACGUGUGUACAUUAAUACGUAUGUAUUAUCAGUAAACUCAUAGUUAAACAAAUAAAGUAACAAUGUGUCCACCAUCCUCAGAUCUUUCUGGGCCACAACAUAAUCGCCCCUCGAAUAUGAUGGAUUACGAGUUAUUAAUUAGUCUUAAACUGUUUAUGAGUAUAAUAAUAUUCUCGUAGAAGUUAUUGUGCAUUAGGAUAUAAUUAUCCACUCAAUUUACUGUCAAUUGAAUUUUCUGCUUUCCAAUUACUUAUAGAAUUUACAUACACAAACCACAAAUAAUUUGUAUAAGUUUGUAGCGAUAAACAUUAAGGUGCCUCGAUGAUUUGGCCACUCUUUGGAAAGAUGAUCUUCAAGAUAAGAGAGUACAGCCUUAUUGCCAUUGACUAGUCAUGAUCACCAAGAUGUACAAUACAUGGGCUCUUAUUUAAUUGAUGACACGAUCCACCAGCUUUAUAUGUCAGUAUUUUUUUUUUUUUUUUGUGGCAAACCCCGUGCACGGGGUGGAAUGCCAGUCCAACUUUUAUUAUGAAAGAUAAAAAAUACAUAACGAGAGACCACACCUUACCUCCAGCCUAUGAGACCGAUCAGACAAAGUUACCAUCCGUGUAUACCCCUACGAAAACUAGGACAACCCCACCUAACUAAAGUAACAUGGCAAUGAGACCGAUUAUAUGCCGGUCCUUCAAAUUAAUUAAUGUACCCAAACAAUUAAACGGUAGUUGCCAGGCAUACAUUUGUGGCUAGUAUAGAUGGCAAUGGGUUGGCUGAAAAUCUGUGAUGAAUAUAUAUAUAUAUAUAUAUAUAUAUAUAUAUAUAUAUCCCAAUUACAAUUUGUCGAUACAUGCCUGCACAAGUUGAAAAAAUGCGAGAAACCAAAAGGAAAAAAAAAAAAAAAUUUUGUGUAGGAGACCAAAAUCAAGACACAUAAAUAAAUUUAAAAAAAUGACUUUCAAGGAACAAAACUCUUUUCCUAAUGCAUGACACCUGAUAGAAAAUGACUUAUGUAUUUGUGCCGCUUGUCCAAGGAAAAAAUAAAACUAGGUAAGAGAGGGGCAAGACAAGGAAAAAUUUCAUGAUAUAUCAAUACUUCUGCUAAUGGGCACAGCAGGGCAAGGAUCUUAAGAAUGAAUAUAUGAAUUCCAAUUCAAUUAUUCAAAAAAAAAUGCUAGACUAAAUCGAAAUGAGACCUCAUAGUGUAAUAAUAUCGGUCAGGCCCUGAUUCUCAAUAUCUAUCUCUUCAAUUUACUCUGCAAACUUAUUAAACCACAUUCUUAAAAAAAAAAAUCCAUGGCCCGCAAUUUUAUUUGAUAUAUUCACAAUGUCAUUUUUCCCCUCUUUUACUGGCUUUGGGCUUCCUUUUUUAUAUAUUUUCUUGACAACAACUCUUAUCACACGUAUCAUGGCAUUUUUAUUGAGCUUGACGUCAAAUAAAUAUUCAUCAUAUCCUUUCAUUGGAUGCGACGGCAGAGAAAUUGACUCUAUAUUAUUACUUCGUGCUUGAAGACGGUAAAAUAAUAAGAUUUAGAUAAGCACAAAAAAAAAAAAAGGAGAAGUUGGUCUACUACUAAACUUUGAAAUUAUCAUUCAUCUCUUGAAUUGUAACACUUUCACAAUAAAAGUUUUUAUCCUUUUGGACAAAGAAUAAUGCCACACCAACUUCUUAUCUGUUGCACUUAAGGCGCUAAAUAGACGAACCCAAAAAAUAAAUGCUAAAUGAACGUAUUUUCUAGCUAUCUAUAUCUAUCUCCAUGUUAUUAUGAUAUCCAACAAUUUGCAAUUGUGAGGUUAGCUACAGCCUGUGGUGCGUAUUUUUUUGGCACAAUUGGUGGUUUCCUUUAUUGUCACUAGUCAUAAUAGAAAAAACAACUCACUCAUGUUUGGAUAUAUUAUUACUUGAAAAAAAAAAAUUAUACUUGUAUCAGAAGCACAUUUUUUCAUUUUAUUUUUAUCUUUCGAAUUUUUUCUUUAUUUCACAAACUUUACAUACAUUGUUAUUAAAUUCAGCCCAUAUAUCAACCCAAUUCAGUAACUAGUUCAAUGGGAUAUUGGUUCAACCCAGGAUUCACUGAUUGACUCGAUGGUUGUAUUAUAUAAUAAAAUAAUGUAUUUGGAUUAUUAAAAAUAAUAUAAUCAUUUAACAAGUUGUUGAACCGCCAAUUUUUUGAGAUUUUACGAAUUGAAUUGAUAAACCAUUGACUAGUUAAUGUGCUCCUCUCUUAAUUGAUCUAACUACUUACCUAGCCCGAUUAGGUAGCUAGUUCACCAAGUUGUCUAGUUGAACCUAGGGGUGUAAUCGAAUCGACUCGCGAGCAGCUCGGUCAAAAAUUUGACUUGAACUCGGGUUGACCGAGUUCGAGUCUAAUUCGAGCGCCUCUAUAAAGCAAACGAGUCGAGUUCGAGUAUUCAGAAGCAACGCUCGAGAGCUAGUCGAGCCUUAUUGAGCUUUUUAAUUUUAAUUCUUUAAUAUAUUAUUAUUAUAAAAUUACUCUUAUAUCCAAAAGAGUUAUUGAAUUUACGAAAUGUUUCAAGUCGAAUAAAAAUUUUAAAAGAGCAAUAAUGUCUUUUCACUAAAAAAUUAUCAAGAAAAUGAAAUUUUGUAGCACGAUAAGACUCGAAUUGACUCGAACCCAUGCGAGUCGAGCUCGAGCUCCAAUAAUACUACUCGCUCGAGCUCGAGCACCUUUCUUGUAUGUCGAGUCGAGGUCGAGUAUGGCACUCGAUUACAUCCCUAAUUGAACUGUCGAAUUGUGUCAUGAUUAUAUCAUAAAAUGUACUAUAACAAUUAUUUCAAAUAAUGCCUUCGUCAAAUCUCCAAACAGUAACUUUGGACUGACUUUCGAACCCAUUGUUGUUGAAGCAUACAAUUCGUUGUAGGAACUAUCCCAAAAAACAAAAAGAAGGUUGGAACUAUUAAUUCAGGUAGGAUAAAUCAAACAAAAACAAAAGUAUAGAUUUGGUCCUCGUAGGCAAGAUUAGAUAUGACUGGUAAUUGCUACAGCUACCGAAACAUCAAUAGAUAGCAACAUUUCAAGAAUUGAUAGUACAGUCCUAUCAAUUGAUUACUAGGACCGUCGAUUGAUAGUAAAUUUUUCCGUCAUUUUCGUAACAUGAUAAAAAUUUUCUACACAGUAUACAGUAAAAGAAAAACUCCAAUCUAGGAGUCAAGACUACUCGUGAAAUAUGUAGUACAAGAAUUUGAAGUUUUCUACUUUUAGCUGUCGGAUUUUUGUUUUUUACUAUGGUGCAUUUGAAUUGUAUGUUAAUGCAGGGUCAGUUAGCUAGUCGUGAACAACAUAUAAUAGUACGUAAGGUAUUUGGACCCUACGUCUGAUGUAAGGGCCAAAUUGGUGAGUAAUAUCUAAGUGCCUCUGUAAGUGUAAGUGUAAGUGAUCUAUAGCUUCAAGAGUAUAUCCUAAUCUUUGAUGAUGAUUGGAGUCGAAAUUAUUUAAACUUUAUUCUUACAAAAAAUGAAACAUAAGAGGAAAAUAUUUUUCACGAAAACCUGACUUCUUUUUGUAACGAGCUUUGUGAGGAAGAACUAAUUGUUCUAUAUGGCGAAGUUUCCAUUACGCCAGUGCAUUAUGCACCACAACCUAAUUUAUGAUGUGCUUCUGCUUCUCAUUAUCUUGGUCUAAUUCUAUUUUUUCUUCACGAGAUAAGAAAAACCAUUCCCAACGUAGACAUGAAAUAAAGUUAAAUUCAAAAUGAGUUACUAAUAUGUUUGGUUACAAUCUUUUAAUAUUGAAUCGAUUUCACCUUUAACUUAUUUUAUGUUGUUUUAACAUUGUCUGACUUAGAUGCACGAUUGUAAUGGAGGAAUUGAGAGUUGAAAAAAAAAAAAAAAAAAAAAAAAAAAGGUUUCGCUUACCGAGUUUCUCUUCAGCUAAUGGAUUAGUACCCAAAAAAAAAAACUUCACUAUGGGCUUUUGGUUUUUCGAUUGGCCGUUACAGUAUGUACCUGAAAUUAUGUACCUUCCCAAAAAGUCCAAAUCCUUCACUCUCAUGGGCUUUACCUGGGAUUGUUUUUAAAUUUUUUAACUUCCUUGCGUGGAUACUGAAAAAGCAGUAAAGUACAAAUGAAGCAUCUUAAGACCAUAGAGGUAUGGCCGUUAACAAAAGAAAUUCGAAAGAACAUAUCAUUUUAGGUUUGAAAUAGGGGUUUACAUGAGUCUACUUAAACUCAACAUGUUAAUGUUCAAAUUUGAUUGAUUAGUUUAUUUGCCAUACCGAACUCAAAUAAGCUUUUAUCAUACUGAGAUUGAGUAUCUUGAAUUUUCACAUGUAAAUUUUAAGUUUUAUACUAAUUGAGUUAGAUUCCAAUUGAAGUCGAAACUUCUCUGAGGAAAAAAAUUAUUUAUAUUUGGAUUGAUUAGUUGGUUACUUAAAUUCAAAUGAGUUUUUACAGUGCCAAAUUUGAUUUGAAUAUUGAGUAGGUAAUUGUGGAUGAUGCAACGCUUGGAAUAAUACUUGACGAUAUUAGAAAACUUAGGCCCUAUUUGACAACUCAAAUCAGCACUUAAAAUUAAUAAAUUCAGAUUUUAAUAUAUUCAAAUGCAUUUAAUAACAAAAAAUAGAACUUUUGAAUUAAUUAAAUGACACUAAAUUUUUUGGGUAAAACUUGCUCUGAAAAAAUAAGUAAUAAGUUAUUGAGUUAUCACUUAAUAUGAUAUACACUUAAAUAUAUCAGAUUUAGUAUUUAGCAUUUCAGUAAUUUAAUGGAUUCAGAUAUUAGUUUUCAAAUUUUAGUUUUAUUAAACACGCCCUUAGGAAGCGUUUAUGUAAAUAUUAACUUUCCCUUUAUUAAAAGGGAAGGUAAUUGUGUAAUUCACAAGUUGGCAAAAUUUAGCUUCAACGUGCUUAGUGAAACUUUGUGGAAGGCGUCCUUCCGCCCUUUGAUUAGUUGGAUUAGCCAAAGAUGACAUAGGAGCUGUUGCUCCAAUUAUGUAACUACUUUUUGCAAUGGCAAUACAUUUCAGUUAUCAUUUGCAAAAAAGAAGAAAAAAGAAAAAUUUAAUCUUUCAGCUCUAAUUUGAGAAAGAAAUAAAGUUUUAUAGGAUUUUACUCAUUAAAACAAUUAUCGAUUAAUGGAACGCUGGACUUUGAAGCUCGAUGCUUAUACAGAAUGAACAAUCAUGGUUAAAAAAUUCACAUAUGUUUGAUAGGUUCUAGGGCAAUUUGAGUUCAUUAACUAAAAGAGCCAUGCAAACUCGAGCUCCAGGUCGCACCACCACCAGAAACCAGACAAGUAAUAGAAGGAAGAACCAGUAGAGACUAAAAAACUCAUACGUGCAAGCAUCAAAUUCAUUUCAGUUCUCCACACACAUAAUACAAUCGUCGUAUGAUUCGGCUCAUCACAGCAUAGGUUUUGUAGAUUGACCUUCCAAUCAUUGUUAAUUUCACGCCAGAUCGAUAUGAUGACUAGAUGAUCCCUUUAUUUGAGAUGGUAAAUCUCAAUAUCUUUGGUCAAAUUUAUGCAAUUGUCCAUCAAUGUAUUUGGAUCUGGGAUGUUCUCAAUUAAUUUCUCGUACUCGAAAGUCCAAGUCACUAACUUCUUAUAUAACCAUAGGUAUCAACAUGAACAGUUGCGAUGAAGGUCUUACUAUAUAACUCCAUCACAUCUCCUUCAAUUACCUUAAAACUAUGCCAACUACUUUUCCUCAUCUAGCUCCACAAUUAUCUCUCCUUUGCAUAUCUCUGUUUUCCAUCUGUAAAACAAACAACAAUUCGGUAAAUGAAUCGAAAGAGUAUAGAGUCACAUAUAAAUCAAUUAGCAUAGAGAGCAAGACCCCGGGUUGCGUGUUUGCGUGUUUGUGUGUGUGUUUUUUUUUAACAUAUGAUUACAAGUAACCAUAAUAUAACCACUAGAGUCAGCUCAGAGAUUAAUGAAGAAGAGCUCUUAGAGUUUUCACUGCUGUCAGGUUCAAAUCCAUAAAUAUUGGGAUAAAAACAAGCAUCUGACAACAUAAUUUGUCUCUUGGAUGGGUAGAAUAACUACAUAUUUCUAACUGUACUAAUCCUUGCCUUAGCUACAGUCGCGAAGCCACACUAUGCUGAGGGGGGAUAAUUUUCCCCCUCAACUUUACAAAAUUUAAAAAAUAGUUUUGAAACUAUUAAAAAUAUUUAUAUUUUUAUCAUAAUAGCACCUCCUCAAUUGUGAAAGGUACACGUUUUCCUCUACAUUGUCUCCCUAUAUUAUGAGAAAUUUUCAUUCUCCUCACAUUAUCUUCCUUAAACAACCAAUUUUUAAGACAUACUUCCUAUAAUACAGAUGUUUUAAAGCUAUUAAAACACAAAAUUGUUAAGGACUUGAAUAAGAAAUAAAUUGAAUAAUUUCACAACACAAAAAAGUCACAAUAAAAAUAUUAUCUUUAAUUAAAUUUCUCUUUACAUAAUAAUGACAUUAUCUUAGGUGUAUAAUAUUACCCCCACUGGCUAUAGGUCCUAGCUCCGCCAAAAAUUGACCAUAUCUUUUAAAGGAGAUAACAACAUGCCUAGUCAUUUCCUCACUUCUGAUACUAAAAAAAAGAUAAAAUACAGUAAAUUUUGGAAGAAAAUACCAAUGGAAAUAAUGACGAAAUUAAAUCCAAAUUUUUACCGUGGGUAUACUUCCACACUUGCAUGGCUCCUACACUUCCCCAAUCACCAUCAUGCAAUUCAACACCUUGAACAAGUGAAGGGCUCAUAUCGGAUAUAUGAUGUGGUUUGUCUCUAAAUUAAGAUCUCAUGAAACACAUCUCCAUUCAACUUUAUCUCGGUUUGAGAAACCAGCUUACCAGUUAAACUCAUCUCUUCUUAGUUCUGUUAAUUAACCAAGAAAGGCAGAUCAAAGCAAAUACUAUCAUUGAAAAGACUACAGGGAUAUAUAGAGUCAAUUGUCAGGGAUACCAUUAAAAAAAAAAACCAAAGAAAGAAACGUGAUUGUGCAGAAAUACAAGUUGGGCACUUUUAAAAGGUCACAAUUUCGAAAUUUGCACGCAAAAAGAAUUUUAACUUUAUCAAGGUUGGUGAUGCAUCCCUCUCGAUUUUAGGAGGUCCAGGAUUGAAGACUUUUCAAAACAUGGAAACUAUAAUAUCUAAAACCUUAAUUUAAAGAUAAACCAUUGAUGAUGAUUGGUAUUAUCAGGAAGACAAGGGACAUAUUCAAGAAGAUGUACAAUCACACACAAUUUUAGCUGCAAGAUGUAGCCGACCUCUAAUGUAUCUGUACAUCUUGCUAGUUAGCGUAAUGAACAUUGUCAGAGAUUCAAAAUCGUGUUGGCUGAGCAAAUGUUAGCACAAAAUUGAAACAUUAUUUUACGUAGCGCUAUUAAUAGAUCUUUUAUCGGCAUUGAGCUAUUACGCAGUUUGAGUUACGUAGAGCUAUUUGUAAAUUUAUUUUGUGCGGAUUUGAAUAAACUGAAAAGAAUAAAAACGACAUCUUUUAAUGCACUACCAAUUAUUUCUGGAAAGCCAGCUCGUAGUAUAAUGCGGUCACCCAGACUCUAUGCACUAUUAAUCUGACAUAUUUACAUUUUUUUUUGGUUCAUAUACUACAUGGCAUAGUUAUAUUAUUGAGCUUGAAAUCAAAUGUUCAUAAAAAUUGGUCUCCCUAAUUUAAUUUUAUCAGCCCACCCUCCAAUUGAAUGCCACGGCCAAAGAAAUUGUAACUAUACUCUAUUAAUAUGAGUGAAUACCAUCAAACAAAUGUCCUACAUGAAUGCAUUAUUAUCAUUGAAUCUGAUAUUUCAAAUGCAAAAAAAAAAAAAAAUCACAUUUUGUACAAACACUUAAUUAUAACUGAAUGUGAUAUUUUGAAAUUGACAUUCAAUACAAACUUUUGUCUUAUAUUGAAUUUGAAUUUUUUAACAUGCAAUUAAUACAAAAUUUCAAAUUUAACUGAAUUCAAUUUCUCGUAAAUCAUAUUUAGUAUAAAAUCCUAAUUUUAACUCAAAGUGACAUUCGGUAUAAGCUCUUAAUUUUAUUUGAAUUUGAUUUUUCGAAAGUCACUUUCAAAACAAACUAUUAAUUUUAAGUAAAUGAGAUUUCCUUGUAGUCACAUGCUGUACAAACUCAUAAUCUUAGCUGAAUUUGAUUGUUAAUUUGUCGAAACUUGAAGUAACGCAUUUGAUAUAUGUAACAUAUUUGUGCAUUUGGUAUUUGAUCAAUGUUUCAAAGCAGACUUGAGUAACAUAUAUAUUUGGAGACGUACUGAUUUAUAAGUCAAUAUUCCUAGCUAGUCAAUCCAUUUUCAGGAUCUUAAUCUUUUUUUUUUUUUUUUUUUUUUUUUUGUGUUUGCUGAUUCUGUUUAGUUCAGCUAAUCUUACUCGAAAGCCAAGGCACAUUGAAGAAAGAAAGAAAGAAAAUUAUACACAAAUAUUACAGCACAAAAACAUUUUAGGCAUCAAGCCAUCAUUUUAUUUAUAAAUAUUCAUUGUAAUUAGUAUAUCAAACACACAAUCACAGCCACAACAAAUUUAAUAAAGCUCUCUCACCAAGCUUAUAACAUGACAUACAUAACCUUAACAAGCUUUUAUUUCAUACUCACACCAUUCUAUCUCUUAUUAUUAUUCAACUAGCGAAAUAACUAUGCAUGUUCAUGCCUUGACAAGUGAAGCAUCCACGUCUUUUCCAGCAUGAAUCAGCCAGUGGAGGUACUUAGUUGGAGCAGGCUCAUUCUCAUUGAUAUUCUCAUACUCAAUUGUCCAUUUGGCAUAGUUGGACUGACUUUUUGGAAUAACUUGUAAGGUAGCCUUGUAGCUCUUUAAUUGUUCCAAAAUAUGUCCUCCAACUGCUUCUGCAGUGACAGUCUUGUUCUCUUCAUCCACCGUAAGCCUUUCUUUCAGAGUCUCAACUUUUCCAUCUGGGCAGUAAAAUAUUUAUCAAAUUAUGCCAUUAUUAUAGGGAUAUUCUACCAAAUUGGUGGCAGAAAAACAUUAAGUUAUGAUGCAUAUCAUCUUGAAAUUCCCAGGAAAAUCACCAUAAUAUCAAACUGUUCUACACUAACUUUUAAAAAAAAAAUAAUUCAUGCAACUCAAAUUAGUAACUAUCAAUCUUACAAAGUAGAGAGUUGGUUUUUGCUACCUAUUGCAUAAGUCCAGAGCUUGACAGAGCCCUUAGUUUUCCAGUCACCUUGAUGAACUUUAACACCAUGAACUUUGUCGGAGCAAAGAUUUGGAAGUUUGUGCGCUUUACCACCAAAGCUGUGGAAGAACUCAUCAGGAUCAGACUUAAUCUUUAUCUCAGCUUCUAACUUUCCAGCUAGAAUUGGACUAGCCAUAAUUGGUUGUAGUAAUGCUGAAAAAUCGCUAUGCACCUUUUCCUAGUAAAUGUUCUACCAACUAAACUGGCUGCACCAUGAUUUAUAGAAUCAAAUUUUCAUUUCACAGUAGCUUUUAGAUUAUUACGUAGAUUAAGUCAACAUUUUGUGCAAAACUGUUUAGCAUAGAUGGUUAAUUGAGUGAAUGCAAAACUUUUUUAUGACAAAGUAUGUUCUAUUUGCAGUAACAAACUUGAUAGUUUUAUUAGAGAGGUAAAAAAUGUCAUAGCAUUUAUUCACGUGGUAAGUAGACAAAAAAAAGAUUUUUUUUCCAAACUUUAUAAUGUUUUUGGGAUGAUUGGAAAGGGAAAUCAGAGUAUGUUGACAAAUUGUUUUUUUUUUUUUCCUUUUUUUAUAGGUACUCACGCGUAUUGUUACAAGAAUGGAAAUGAAAAAAAUUUAUUUUGGCCCUUCAAAUCAAGAAAUUGUACAUUUGUCCGCUUCAUGAAUGGUGAAGCACAUCAGAAAGUCAUGUUUUUUUGUUUAUUCAUUUUUCUUUCUUUGUUCGAUACUCAACAACACGAUGGAUACGCUCAGCAAAAGUCGCAAACGCCAAAAUCUUGAUGAAAGCAGCUCUUCAGCCAUCAUCAUGUUGAAAAUACUGCAAAACAGUAGUGAAGGGCAUUGCAUUCAUGUAUCAAUAAGGCUACUUCUAAGACAAGAGAAAAGGAUUUGAAUAUUUUCUUUUUAGCUGCACCAAUCUAAUUGUUUGCUAAUUUUGGGCAAUUGACUAGUAUGAUCAUCUCAUACAUUAUCUGUAUUUGAUAAUUGAUAUAGGUAAUUACCUGCCAAUGAAUAAAACCAAUUACACGGUUUAAAAAGGGAACCUAAUUGGUACAAAUUGAGAUAGUUACGUUGACAACUACAUUGUGGCAUUGGAGAGAGGGUUGAAUUAGAUGAUAAGUUAAGAGAGAUUGUAAGUAAGAGGUUUAGGGUUAAAGACCUCCCACUUACAAGCCAAAAAAAAGACAACUUCAAGGUGGCAUAAAGUGACUAAAUUGAAUGUUCAAUUUAAAAAGUGAGAACUAAUGCCAUAAUACAGAGUAACAACUUCAAAGUGGUGGUUGCUAAUAAUUGUCAUCAUAUAUAUGCAAUAUUUAUUGAAAACCUAGGACCAAUUGCCAUAUACAGGGAUAAAGAUCUUACUAAUCAGUUGAUCCAUCUGAUUCGAUUACAUUCUUUUUCUUUUUCUUUUGCUUUUCAGAGAAUUGGAAUUUUAUUGCUGUAAAUCUUUUUACUGCAGCAGAAAUCUAUAUGCUCCACUACAAGCAUAUAUAUUAACCCUUGAACUAGCCAGUCCAGGUUUUUUUGUUGGACUAGGCUCAUUCUGGUUCAGUUUUUCAUAGUCAAUGGUACAUUUGGCAAAGCUGGAGUCACCUCUGGAGAUAACUUGUAACGUUGCUUUAUAGUUCUUGUAGUGCUUCAUACAAUCUCCAUCUAUUGCCUCAGCAGCAUUGGUCUUGUUCUCCUCGUCAAUUUUGAGCCUCUCUUUGUAUACCUCAACUUUCCCAUCUAUAUUUGCAUCACAAAGAAAUUCAUUAGUGGCUUUUCUUAACAUUGAAUAAUGUUUUACUCUUAAUUUGUUGUUUCCUAUAUUAUCUAGCUAUUAGGCUCAAUUUGCCACAUUUUGGGAAAAACGAAUUUAACAAGAAAAUGUAAUGGAGAAAAGUAUCAAUUAUUAAAAACUAUUGAUGCUUCGUUACGCCAAACUAAACUACAAUAUAGACUCCUUAUCCUUGAUGUCUUUCUCAUUUCGUUAGGAAAAUUAGAUAAUUGACUGAGUAUGCUAACUACUUCACAAGCUAGAUCGCAUAAAAAAAAUAAAAAUUCAUAAAACUUAAAGGAGUAAAUGAACAUUAAGAUACAGUAAAGUGAUGGUUUUACCUAAGUACAACAAAUAAGAAGUAGGCGUGGCAUUAUUUUUUGUGCAAAAGGGUAAAAACUUUUAUAAUGAAAGUGUUACAAUUCAAGAGAUGAGUGGUAGUAUUGAAAGAAAGAGUGUAAGUGAGAGAUUCCGAAUUCGAAACCUCGCACUUACACUAAAAAAAUGAUAGUAAUUUUAAAAGUUUAGUAGAAGGUCCUCUUCUUCUUCUUCUUCUUUUCUUUGUGCUUAUCUGUUGCCUUUAUAAAACUCAAUAGAAAAAUCUUAUUAUUCUACCGUCUUCACAUAAGAAGCAAUAAUAUAGAGUCAAUUUCUUUGCAACCAGUGAAAGGAUAAGGAGAUAAAGUCAAUUGAGGAGGCUAAUUACGAUAAUAUGUUAAGCUCAAUAAAAAUGCCAUGAAACAUAUGAUAAGAGUUGUUGUCAAGAAAUUAUACAAAAAGAUACCGAGGGAAGCCCAAAGCCCGUGAAAGGAAUAUAAAAAAUAAAAGAUUGUGAAUAUAUCAAAUAAAAUUGCGGUCCAUGGGCACGAAAUAAGUUGAGUACAAAUUUUGGUAUGAUCGAUUCAUAAAUUUCUGCUGAAAGAUUGUCUCCUGAAUUAUUUGUGGACAUCGAUUGUGAUGGCUCGGAAAACUUAGUUUCCUCUAAUUCAACAAAUUAGUUAUAUGUUGAUUUAUUUGAUCGAUUCAUAUAUAGCUUGCUUUAUCAGUUACCUUUGAUUCAAAAGUCAGUCCACUGUUUGCAGUACUUACUUAUAAGAAUGUGGUUUAAUAAUUUUGCAGAGUAAAAUUUAGAGAGGUUUUGAGGGCUUAGUUGACGAAAAUUUAACAAAUAUAUGGAAGGCCAAGCUAAGAAUCAGGGCCUGACAGAUAUUAUUACACUAUGAGGUCUCAUUUCGAUUUACUCUACCAUUUAUUUAUUUUUUGAAUAAUUGAAAUGGAAUUCAUAUAUAUUCAUUCUUAAGAAAUUGUUCUAAUAUUGCCCCUUUCCUACCUAGUACUGUAUUAUUUUUUCUUGACAAGGCGCACAAAUAAAUAAGACAUUUUAUUUUAGUUGUCAUUGAUAGGUUGCAAUUUUAUCAUUUAUUUUAUUAUUAAUUUUCCCUAUUACCUGACUUGAUGUGAAUUAAUUAUUAGAUUCUACUCACUUUUCGUAAUUUACAUUUAUUUCAGAGAGUAGAACAAAAAUAUCACAAUCAAGGCCAAUUUGACAGUCAUCGGGAAAGAAUUCAAAUAGCAGGCAAUUAAAGGCAUUCUUGGAACAAGGAGAUGCAAGACCUUUUUGGUAAUUUUGAGCCAAGACAGCAACUAAAAAAGGGAAAAGAAAGCAAACCUGGGGAAGCGUCCAGAGGCUUCGUCCUCUCCGCAAGGGGGAGCCGCCGCACAAGGCAGGAGCAAUAGAGAGGAACUAGAAUUGGAAAUGGCAGGAGGGGAGCACUACUCUGGAGCUUUAGCGUUGACUUUUCCUUCCUUUGCUUCUUAGUAGUUUUUGUCUUCUCUCGGAUGUCAGGAACAAUUGAAGCAUUGAAUCAUUUCCUUGUAGCUUUUUCGUUUGAUUUUUCCUUGUGACCUGUAGUGGAUUCCUCCUGCCACAUGAUGGCCGCAGCUCUUGUUUCAAUUUUGUAUGGGUUUUGUUCAUCAAAUAUAAACUAAUUUUCUCAUUCUAGUCAAGGGACAACGGAUGCUCUGAUUCGACUAAAAUUGUGAGAUCGCUUUAAUUUUAUCCUUUUCUUUAUUUAUUGGUAUUCGCAUAUUUCCUGAUUAUAGUACUUAAGAUUGUUUAAUUAAUUGAUUGUCUUGGAUCCGGAUAAUUAGUUAAUUUGAUAAUCUAUUGUCAAUUGGGACGUUAAAUCCGUAAUUGUUUAAUUGUCUCAAAAUAGUGAUAACUGGCAUGAUUGGGUUUGUGUUAGGGGGAUGUGCGGGCCAAUCUGAAAUAACCCUGGUAGUGCGUUAUUUGGUUAGAAUAGGGCUCCUCUAAUUCGUAAGGCAAUUGAGGAAUUAAAUCUUACGGGCGUACCUAAGAUUAUUUUUUAAUUAGAGUAGUGAUUAACGGACGUACCUUAAUCACCGAUACAGUAAGGAGGGGUUAACUGUCAUCGCUUGUUUGGCAGUUAUAACCUAUUUAUUAGUAAAUAAUUGGAAUUGCCUUUGUUUCAAUGAUCAAUUAGGUGAACCAUUGCUGAAGUUAUUUCUUGGCUAGAUCCUUAAUUAUCACUCAUUUGAUUUUAGUAAUUUGUUAUUUAAUUUUUAGUAGUUUCUUAGAUUUUAUUUGAAUUUCUUUGAGUGUCACCUUCUGCACAAAAACAUUCCCCUUUGUCACUGUGAAUUUGAAAAGAAACAAUUACUCCCAGUCCCUGUGGAUUCGACCCUACUCACCGCUAUCUACAGAAAUUACUUUUAGUUUGAGCAGGUUUUAUUAUUGCACAGGUUUCGACACCCUGUCAGUCAUGAAUUAGGAAAAGAGCUUUUUUCCUGAAAUUCAUUUUUUAAUGUUUCUUGAUUUUUGUCUCCUACCAAGAAAAAAAAAAAAAAAAGUAUCUGUCCUUUUGGUUUCUCAUAUUUUUGCAACUUUUGCAGGUAUGUAUCAACAAAUUGUCAUUGGGAUAUAUGUGUGUGUUUGUGUGCGCGUGCACGCAUGUGUAAAUGUAUGUAUGUACAUAUAUGUGCAUAUGUGUAUGUAUGUACAUACAUACAUAUAUACAUACAUAUAUAUGUAUAUAUAUGUGUGUAUGUAUAUAUAUGUAUACAUAUAUACACCACACCACACACCACACCACACACAUGCAUAUAUAUAUAUAUAUAUAUGUGUGUGUGUGUUUAUGUAUAUAUAUGUAUGUAUGUAUGUAUGUACAUACGUACGUUCAUCAAGGAUUUUCAGCCAACUCAUUGCUUUGUGUACUAGCCACAAAGGUAUUCCUAACAACUACCAUUUAAUUGUUGGAUACAUUAAUUAAUCUAAAGGACAAACCUGCAAGGCUGUUGGAUCUCAUUAAUUAAAUAAGAGCCCAGUGUACAUCUUGGUCAUCAUGACCAGUUAAUGGCAAUAAGGUUGUACUCUCUAUCUUGCCGAAGAGUGGCCAAAUCGAAGAGGCGCCUUAAUGUUUAUCACUACAAACUUACAAAAAUUAUUUUGGUUUCUACAGGUAAAUUCUGCAAGCAAUUGAAAAGCAAAAAGUUCAACCGGCAGAAAAUUGUGUGGAUUAUUAAAUCUUAAUGCACAAUAACUUUUGCGACAAUCUUAAGCCUAAUUAAUAACUCGUAAUCCACCAUAAGCCGUGAUGAUUGCUGCGCCCAAUGCGAUAGGGAAAAAAUAAAAAAAAAGAAACUCGUUUUCCAGUCACCUUCGUGCACUUCAAUCCUGUUAACUUUCUCAUUCACAAGAUCUGGGAGUUGGUGUGCUUCAGCGCCAAAGCUAGGAAGAACUCAUCAGCAUCAGACAUCAGCCUGAAUUCAGCCUCCAACUUACCUACUAAUUUACUAGUCAUAGUAGAGAGUUCCUACUAAUUGAUCAAACCGAAAAAAAAAAAAAGAAGAAGAAAAGCCCUACUAAUAACCUUGAACAAUACUAUGUUUUAUGCAACUCAGCCACUUGACUACCUGAUCUAUAGAUGCUUCAUUAAUUGGUUGGCUCCCACAAGUUACAAAUGUGUGGUUCUCUUUUCUUUUAGCUGCAAAAUAUGCGUGUAAUCGUGAAGAUGAACGCAUGUUGCAAUAUCUUCUCAUGCAAAUGAUAUACUGCUGCGUUUAGCCAAUACUGUCACACUUGAUUAUUAGUUAAAUUGGUAAAUGCUCCACUUCUGUCUCCAACGGGGAAUUCAAUGGGAAAUAAUGAUGUGGGGUAUACUUCUUUUUUUAGGGGCGCCGGGUUAUACAUUUUUAUCUAAUCCUUAUCCAUAGAAAGCAGAAAUCAAAAUUGCUCUACAUUUCAAUUGAAGUCCAUGAUAAUUUUUUGGACAAGUUUGAUUUGUUUUGUACAGUUAUAUGUUUAGGACAACAUGCCAAGAAUCGACCAAAAGUAGACUCACAAAACACUAGCGUACGUAGCUUAAAGGACAAUUUCGAUUUUGCAUAGGUAAUGUUUUGAUAGAUUUUCAGCUUGCACUUUAAACUUCUAUUUUAAAGUCUUUUAGUUUUAUGAAUACACUUUUUUUUCUGUAAUCUAUCUGUAAUCAAAAUAUAUAAUGGGCUUUGAGUAUUCCUAAGAAGAAGCGCAAUUCACUUUUGCAAAAGAAGUAAAAUUAAGAAGUGAAAUUGUUAUUUAAAUUUAUAUAUUUGUUGUGCAGGUGCGUACAUUUAUUGUUCCUAUGCAUACAUUGUAGAGUUCAAUUGUAACUAACAUUGUGGAGAUACUACACGCCAAUGUUGUACUUUCUGCUGGUUUAGUUCACCUCUUUGGGGACAUUUAGCAAGAAGUCAAGAUAUGAUAAAUAAGUGUGUGUGAUACAGCAAAAUUUUAUUAAAUUACAUGACGAAAUUGUGAUCUAACUGAAGUUUUGCUCAUGUUCCUUCGUUAGAAAAUCAAUUAACGUGUUUGUUAUCACAAGAUUACUUAUGCAAUUUAGAGAUCCUCUUUUGAUUAAGAAACCAAAAGAGAUAUUUAAAGAGAGGAAACUAGAGAGAUCCUUGAAGUUUGAAGGUUCAUUAUGGUGAACCGAUGCACUUAGCAUUUAUGUCUUCUUCAAGCCAAAACACUGAGAUAGAUAUAAAGCCACACCAAACAUUUAUUGAUCUUUGCCUUCAAAAUUCGUCGAAAUUCACUAAUUAGAUUGAUCUUUUCUACACAGCAUAUAAUUGUAAUUACACAUGCAAUUCGAAAUUCAAGUUACUUGUAUUAAAAGAAUUUUGCUAGUUCAUCUAUGAUGAUACGUAAAUCAAAGAGUGCAUGGGUUAGAAAAGUUAUGGCAUGGUAUCAGUGAAUGUCGCUCGUUUUGUGGAGUUCUAAACCUUGAGGUGGUUCGGAAUUUUAUUGCAGCCAACUUUGAUCCUAAUGGGGGGGGGGGGGGGGGGGGACGGGGAUAAAAUCAGGCUUUUCCAAUAGAACUGGCUCACAGAUUAAAAGGGUGUGAUCCCUUUUCCCUCUUGCAUGUUGCAAUUUGAUUAACUUCCAGUGCGUUUAGGAAAACAUUAGUAUAAAGGAGUGAAAGAGUGCCUGAAAUUUGCAAUGGCGAAAGUGUAUGGACAUUAUUUGUGCAGACAUUUGAGAGAGAAUGCUGAGCUGAUAAUCCUUGAUGGAGCAGGGCAUUCAUGGGGUUAUGAAAAAAUCUAAGGAGUUAUAUAAGCACCUAAAAACCUUUCUCAUAGGCUGAAUCAACCAACCGACUUUAGGCACUUCAAUCCUUCCUCUUCAACUCACAGAAGAAAAUUUGUCGUUCAACUCAAUUUUCGAGGCUAAAAAUGUAGAGGAAAGCCUCUAAUCAAUUGAAUUUAUAGGUACACUUUGUUUCCCAGAAUAAAUAACUGACAAUGAUGGUUAAUAAUUCUUUCAACAAUGUUCCAUUCAUGAUGUAUCUUUACUCAAGCUAUUGUAGAUCAUACAAAUUCCACUUGUGGAAGGAAGACGGGAAAAUUAAACCAUGUUCAUGGCUGGCCACUAAAUCCUUUGUUAAUGACUUCUAAUCAACUACUACUAUUUCAAAGAUACCAUAAGACCACUAAAAAUUCAGCUAAACACAUACCAUUCUGGGUAAACGAUGUCAUGGCCCUCAAAUGACCUAAUCAGCCUAACUUCAAGGGUGCCUAUUAUGAAAAGGACCAUAUGCCCAAAUUGUUUCACAUCCUAAAUUAUCUAAGUAAAAGUAUAUUGAGACAAGAAAAAAAGAAAAAAAAAAGAAUAGAUAAACUAUGCUCCCUUUCUUUUCAAAAUAUUCAAUCGGUAAGCACUAAUCAAACUGAAUAGUCUCAAAAGCAUAACUCAAUCAUAUAAUGAUCACAGAGAAUAGCGAAAAAAGAAAGGGAGAAGAAGCGGUGGUCUAGUACUCUGGUCGCAGACUCAAAUUUUGGUUUUUGGAGAAGGGUCGGUAGUAGUGGUUUUCGACAGAGAAUGAUAGAGACUGAAGUUUGAGAGUCUGAGAGUGUGGACUUAGGGUUUAGUUCUUUUAGGAAUUUUAUUUUUAAAAUUUUUAACGGGAUCAAAUUGACUGCAAUGCCCAAGAAACUAGCUGUACUACAAAAGUUAAGGGUAGAAAUUUCUCAAUAAGUUCUGAACACUUAUGUGUUUUAAGUCAUAUAAAUUUAAUUAUUUAAUAUUUACACCAGCGCUCGAUAGCACACUAUAUUCCUACUUGCACUCGACUCAUUAAAACAAUCGAACAUGUUUGAAAUUGAUUCAAACAUGAUCAAAGUCAAAACAAGACGAUCCAUUGAUCAAGCAGCUCCAUAUGUGCACCCGAGUUGCUUGAUUCGCAUACAUUCCUAUCGCAAAAUCAUAGUAAUUGAACCUUCAACAUCGAGUAUAGGAUUGGCCUUUGUUAUUCACCUAAUGCUUAAGUACAUAGCCUGACAGAGCCGGCAUUCUUCCAAUCACCUUGAUGAACAUCAAUGCCAUGGACUUUCUCGGAACCCAGAUUUGGAAGUUGGUGUGCUUUACAACCAAAGCUAUUGAAGAACUCAUCAGGAUCAGACUUGGAUCUUUAUCUCAGCCUCCAACUUUUCUGCUGUAUUAGCCAUAGUUUUUUCUAGCUCUACUAGUAAAAAAGCUACUGAUUUUCAGCUCACCUUCACCUAGUAGAAUGCAAAUGCUAACGUAUAUGUACCUUAACCAUCGGACCACCGCUUAUAUAGGAUCAGUUCCAUUUUUCCGUACAUUUGUGAUGGUUUGUACUAAUAUCUUUGCUUUUUAUCAAUUGUGUUUUAGGUUUAUGUAGUUAUACCGCUCAUACCUAUGCUUAAAUUUCAAUAUACUAAUUGGGCUUAAGUAGCAAAGUUUUGAAAUUUAAUUUAAAAAGAAAAAAAAAAAAAAAAAGAAAACCUGGCUACAUUAUUUUUGGAUUAGGUCAGGAAAUUUGCCUUGCUAUUCUUCUUCAUCAUAGUCAAGACAAAAUUUCUGUUGUUAGACUAUUACCAAGAUUAGGUUAAUUAUCUAUGUCCUUUGAUGUGAGGCAACAUGUCCCAGAUUAAAAUUAAGGGGCAGAUAAAAUGUCAUAUUAAUCCAAGAAAACCCAACUGCAACCAGAACUAGAUUUCAUGCCAUCACCUAAGACGAGUGGGUUAGAAAGAUUUGUUUGCUUGAUAUGUGAUAAUACAGGCUUCGUUAAUAAGUUAUUAAUGCGAAUAUGCAAAACAAAUGGUUACAUUAUAGAUUCCUGUGCUUUGUGUUAAAGCUUUUUUUUUUUUUUUGGCAACAAAUUUUUGGACUGCACGGAUCAUUCCUUGCUGCUUUUAGAUUUCAAAACAGAAGCUACAAAGUACAGAACAUUUUCAGUUUUAGAAAUGCACCUCGGUUUUUCAAAAGGUGCAUUGACUACUGUAAAGAAUAGUUUCAGCUCCAUGAGAUCGAUGCCAGUAAGAUAGUUAAAUCAGCAGUGAUAAAUGUUAUGCAAUGAACCACUGUUAUAUAUAGGAAGCAUGCUGCGAUAAUGAUACCCCAUGAGGAAAAACAGAAACCCUAAUAAUCAUAGCGAUGAUAGUAACACUAAACCUAGAGUUAUGAACUAGUUCUUCGAGUUAAUUAAGAAUUUCUUGGUCACAUCUUUGUAGUCAAGUCAUCCAAACAAAAUUGUAUUCCCUCGUUUAUCCCAAUUGUACCAAGAGACCAUUAUUUGGCGAAAAAGACAACAGAGAAAACAUGUCAGACAUAAUCAUAUAAUCAGUGCUCCCAUAGCCAAAAUGCGCAGGAUUAGAUGUAGUUGGGUAUUAAUGGAGCAAAUUUCUUGACGUCUUCACUUGAGGAGAAGACGACAAACUGAAUUUAACUCAAAAAAUAAUAAUAAAAUUGCGUUUAAAGGAGCUGCAAUGAAUUUAGUUAGGAAUAUGGAAUUAACCUAUCUGGAGAAAGAUGGACAACAUUAAGCAAACAACAUGCGUUUGAAAAAGACUAGCAUUGAUGAAAGGGUUAAAUGCAAAAUACCCCCCACAAACUAUAUACCUAGUUGCAGUUUACCCCCUAAACUAUAAUAAUAGACAUUUUGCCUCCUUGAAUGAUAUGUUUGGACAAAUCUACCCCUUUUAUUUUAAGCAUUGUUAUUUUUCUUUUUUCCCUAUCAUUUUCUUUUUAAAUUCUUCCUUUUUUUUCUUUAAACAUUGUUUAAAUAAGUAGACUAGAUUAGUCAAAAUUUGUUUAUUUCUUAAUUUCAUAUGUCAAUAUUUUAUAAAAAAAAAAUCUAUGGAAUACAAGAUUUUUUUUCCAAAUGUUGAAGUCAAUGUCAUUUAUGAAAUUGAACUUUUCAAAUAUAUAAUAACAAAAUAGAGAAAUUGAUUAAUCAAUUAUUAGUAGUAUCAAUAACCAAAAAAAUGAACUACUAUUGUUGUUUAUUCUUAUUUUUUAUUUCACUACAAAUAACAAUUGCUAACUUUUCUUUUUUAUGUGAUAUAUAAUAUGUUACUUUUAUUAUAAGUAGUUGAGUAACUGUGAACUCUUAAUUAGUUUAUUGGCACUUAAAUUGUUGAAUUACUAGAUUAAUACACUUUACAAUAUAAGCUACAUAUAUUUUGUAAUAACAAAGAGUUUAUGACAAAUUAUUAAGAAUGAAUUUAACAAAUAAACAAAUUAAAAAAGCAGUUUAAAAAAUAUUAAAAUUUUUUAUGUAAGUCUUUUCACAUCGGAGAGAGGCAUUGGCUAGUUUCACGAAAGAAGGAGAAACAAAAAAAAAAUGAAAAAAUGAAAAAAGCUAAUAGAGAAAAAAAGAAAGAAAGGAUUUAAGAUAGUAGGGGUAAUAUUGUCCAAACAUAUCAUUUAAGGGGGAAAAAUGACUAUUAUUAUAAUUUAUGGGGUAAACUGCAACUGGGUAUAUAGUUUAUGGGGAGUUUUUUGCAUUUAACCCUUGAUGAAAAGACUAAUAAAGUCAACAGUAUGCCCACACAAAAUUCAAUUUCCAAGUCACCAUUCCAACCACUUCUUUGACUAAUCCUAAACUUGGAGGUUGAGCUCCAUAAAAAAGUUUAUUCAAAGGCAAAACGAUUUGGGAAUUGCAAUGGGAAGCAAGUCGUUAAAUGAAGUAAUCAAACAUCACUUAGUAAAGGCUUACUAAACUAGUUAAUAAAGAUGUUGUUGGGCUGCUGUAUUCACCAUGAAUUGAUUUAAAGAUGAAAGUUCAGGAUCUUUAACAUGGAAUAUGGUGAUUUUUCUCCAAUUCUUCCUGGCUUUCUCUUUCUCUUUUAUUCAGGUCUCCCCGGCAGGAAAACAGAUACACAUAUAUAUAUACACACACAAAAAGAGAGAGAAAACAUACGAGAUCCUUACAAAAUUUGAAGGUUCAUUAUCGUGAACCAGUGCACUAAGCAUUUAUAUCUUCAUCAAGCCAAAAAAAAAAAAAGAAAGUUAAGAUAGAUAUAAAGCCACACGAAACAUUCAUUUUGUUUUUCAUCAUUACACGUAGAAUCGUUAACACAUACAAAUUACAACCAAGCACUAACAGCAGUAGAAUUGCUAACACUUAUACAAAUUACAACCAAUCACUAGCAGGAGUAGAAUUGCUAACACUUAUACAAACACUUGUACAAAUUACAACCAAUCACUAGCAGGAGUAGAAUUGCUAACACUUAUACAAAUUACAACCAAGCACUAACAGGAGUAGAAUUGCUAACACUUAUACAAAUUACAACCAAUCACUAGCAGGAGUAGAAUUGCUAACACUUAUACAAACACUUAUACAAAUUACAACCAAUCACUAGCAGGAGUAGA